This 69767-nucleotide long non-coding RNA is filed under the name Musa acuminata (dwarf banana). RNAcentral describes it as "long non-coding RNA (MACU_LNC004422)". The record is from RNAcentral. Lineage: Eukaryota; Viridiplantae; Streptophyta; Magnoliopsida; Zingiberales; Musaceae.
GCAAGGGUAACAAUGACUUCUAGUACACUACAUAGAGUAGUUUGUUAUGGUAUAAUUGUGAUAAUGUAAAAUAUUAGAAGAUCAGUACAUAAAAAGCUUGAAAAAAAGGUUUUAAUAUCGGAGAAUGUUGUGGUUGAUCAGUGUAGCUUCUGCAAAUCUGAAGUUAUGGUGGGGAUUAUCCUAUCAGCGUUUUGGGACUGGUUAAACUGAUGAAACAGUAAGCUACCAUCAAAUGUGUUCAAAUAAGACUAACAAGCCAGGGAUUCAUCGAAUGUUACUUACAGUUGCUAGAUGACCUUAAUACUUCUCCAAUAAGAUUAAGGUUUAAUAAUAACCAAUGUAUUAAAAAGUAGCAUACCAGUCGGUACAAGCUGGUAUCUACCUGUCCGACCACGAAUAUGUUCAUUGACUAACUUGUACUGUUUAUGACUGCCUCUUUUGCCUCUUCUUUCUCCUCCCCAUCGUGUCUUCAUUGUUGCCACCUCCUCCAGCUUCUUCUUCUUUUCCUCCUCUCUGCCUCCUCCUCCUCCACCUCCCCUUCCUCUACUCCACCUCCUCUCCUCCUUUACCUCCUCUUCUUCUAUCCUCCUCUCAUGUUUGGGCAGGUUCGACCCUUGCCGGGUGCUAGUAUAUUGGUUUGUAAUAAAACCAUACUGAUCUAACCUUGAUCCAACAAUGCAAUACCCCUUUUUGGGACUUAAGAAUGUAAUAGCACUCCGAUUAAUAAUACAUCCUUAAAUAUAUUUAACAAAAGGCACAGUGCAGAAGGCUCCAGUUAAGAGCAUUUUAAUUCAUAAAAUGUUUUGAAAUAUCCUCCAUGGCAUCUUAUCUUGCCUGAAAUUACAUGGCAAAAAGCUUCCUGCUUUUAGCCAAGAUGCUCCAUCAUCAGACAGAUUCUAAAGCCUAUCACAUCGAUGAUUAUUUGUUGACAAGUAUUUCCUUGGUGACUAUCAUUAUCUGCAAUGAUUGUCAAUUGGUUUUUUUUUUUGGAAAUGCAUUUUGCUGCAUGUAGUAUCCCCAGCUCAGUUAGAAUUUCAACUAUGGGAGGUGUUUAAACUUGCUGAAUAAUUAUUUCAGAGAUUGAGGCAGCCAAUCACGGUGUUAAAAGAACUUGCCAAUGUGAAUACUAGGUUAAAAAUAACAAUGUUUGUCACAUUCAUUAAAAAAGGGUGGCCCAACUCUUGCCAAUGUGAGAUCUUCGUAGGUUCAAUGUAGGUGACUUUGCCCUUACAAGCAAAGGUUGUUUCCAUCGAUAAUAUAAAGUAGCCAAUUUUUUACAUGUAUAAUAUAACCAAAUAUUUCAAAUUGUCACUAGUCAAAGCUAUGCACAAACAAGACCAAAGCUUAGUGAGGUGAUGAAAAUAGGUGCUACAGCUUUUAAAAAGGUGUACAAGCCAUAUAUCCAGGUAGAAGACAGCAAGAUUGUUAAAAGGUUUAAAUUUAAAGAUGGGACUUUAGUUCAACUUCAUAUCUUAAAAAGACUUUGUAAAGACUUAGAACUAAUCAUAUACACAAGACACAAUUGAACUGGAGUAGUUGAAAUGGAGGAGCAAUUUAGUUACGAGAUAUAUAUUGCAAGGCAAGAGAUCUAGUUGAGAGGCUGAACGUCCACGAAAUUCUGAUGAACUACAUUUGAUGUCCAAGAUUGAUAAAUCUGAUGAACUCCCUGCACUUCUUGGAUUAAAAUUAAAAUUAAAAUUAAAUUCAUGAUUGAUAAAAUAUAAUUUCUAAUCCAAACAAGAUAUCAUAUUUUCUCUCCUAGGAAAAACAAGAAAUGUAAUUUUAUUUAACAAAUAAAACAAAUAAGCUUAUUGAAAUAAAAUAAAUAGGGAAGAAACCUACUUGAUUCCUUAAGAUGAUACCACUUCCACUCUUUACCUUCCUUGCAAUCCCGAUCGAUGUGAAAAAGAAGAGGGGUUUGUUGGCUUAUGAAGAGAUGGAUAGCUAUUCUAAAACUAUUUCUCAGAGACCUUUGGAAUAUAUGAUGUAAUAUAGGGUUACAAACUUACAAUGUUUAUACUUAUUAAUAUUAGUUUGCGAAUGUCAAGUACAUUUUCAUUGGUUGAUGAGGGGUUACCCCCCAACUCAAAUUAUUCAAAUGAUUCUGCUAAAAAUUUUCCAACUCAAUAAUAUCAAUGAGAUUAUAGCUUGUUCCUACACCAUGGGUUUUUGUUGUGUAGGUUCUGUAUUACAUGGGAUUCCUGUAUGGCAACCUUUUUUUUUUGUAUACAACGUGCUAAGGUUGUGCAAUAAUAACAAAAGAAUGCUAACCUAGUGCGUAUAUGGUUUGUUUAGUUGAUGAUGCUGUGCAAGAAUGGAGUCAAAUCUCAAUGAAGGAUCUUGUAGACAAGGAUUAUCAUCUAUACAGAAAAUACAGUAGUGAAGCUUCUUUAUAAGUGAAGAUAGGAUAUUUGAUUAGCCUUGACUCGAACGGUUAUGUAUAGUAACUUCUUAAUUAUGUUAUGCUUAUUCGUUUAUUUAUCCUUUCUCUUCAUGCACUUUGGAUAGUGAAAGGUUUGAAGCAUGGAUAGUUAAAUUUUUGAAUAUUGGAAUAAUUAACAGUGAAAAUUUUCUCUUUUCCCAUGUAUGUGAGAUUGUGAGUCAUGUCUGUCCAUUAAUUCCUCAUGUUCAGGGCUCAUCAAUGUGACAUUAGUUCGCAGCCAGGUCCACCAACUUACUCUUGUCUUCUCUUAUUUGCUCUCUGUCUUGUGCUCAAAAUUUAGAACAACUCUUAUUUGUUCUCUAAAAUAUUAGUUGUUUAUGCACUUGUUGGUCUCUUCAUGUGGCUUCAUUCCCUGUCAAGAGUAUCUUAACUCAGAGAAGUCCUGGUAUUGAGUCUCUGACCUGUUCCUCCUUCCAAUAGAAGUCAUGCUUUGUCUUUGAAUUGACUAGUUCCACCAAGUUACAAUCAGCUUCCUUUUGGUCGGGGUGCUAGAUUUCUAGGUGACAUCUUUCUAGUUCAGACUUCAUUUUACCUUUUAUGAUGGGAGUUAAGAUUUUGAACUUUGUAAUUUUAUCUUUAUCAAACCCCUUAUUGGUGACAAGUGUUCUUUCGCUUGUCAAGUAAGUUUGUGUCUUGCUUUUUGACUCAGAAACAUGCUAAUCUUGGGCUAGUUUUCACCAUGAGCUACAAAAACUCUUCUAUAGGCUUCUCUGAUAACAUAUCUUUCUAAUUCUGUAGUAAAAUAAAGGAUUUCUAGGAUUCAAUUACAAUAAAUUCUGUGUUCCUUCUAGAAUUUCUCUCUCAAAAACUUUCAGCAUUUUUUACUUGCCUUUAUGAAUUAUAUUCGUAUGCAACAAUCUACAUCUUGAGCUGUGAUCUGGCCAGCACAAAAGUAGAGAUAUACUGGAUUCGCUGGUUCUUUAGAGGGGAUGACAUUACCGGUAUAUUUAAGCCAAAAGUAAUAUGUAAAAGUACCUUAUCUUUGCAUAUACUGCUUCUCUAAGGUAUUAAAUGAAAAGUACUGUGUUUAAGCCAAAACUACUAUUCCCCUUGUCAUUAUUGAAAGUGGUAUCCCAUGUAAUGUGACAGUAGCUAGACCCAGUUUGUUAUGUUCAUGAGGCCAUUUAUCAUUUAUUAAUUAUAAUAUGACAUUAUAAUUCUUUCAACUAUUAGUCACUGCUGAAUCAAUGUGUUAAGAAUAAUUUGCUUAGUAAAGUAUUUUAUAUUAAGAUGUCUUCUUUGCAGAAGGAUCGAUUAGUUGGUUAUAACAUAGUUUCUAUAAAACAUGCACUUCCAUAUCACACUUUGACUGAUGAAAUACCAAUAAUGAAUUUUGCUAACAUGAAGAUUCGAAAAGCAAGGGAUGCGGCUAAGAAAGCGCAGAAGUUGCUACAAAAUGUUUCCAACAGGAAGAAAAAUAAAGAAGUGGAAAAAGAUGGGCUGGUUAUUACAAAAGCGAUAUAUGGAAAUCUUAGAACAGCCAGAGGAACAGAAGAACAUCUUGAGGUGGAUGAUGAUGUAGCUUCACUGAUUUUAGAUGUUACAUUACCACUAAACUUCUUGGUGACCAACUCUCGGCUUGAGGUAUGUUAUGAAUAUCUCUUGUAAUUUGUUAUUGUAGGUUGAGCUCAUUUAACAUGUUUUACCCUUGUUAUAAACCAACAGGUCCAAAUUUAGCACAAAACAUGAAUGAAUACUUGAUGUGCAGCUAAGCAAUAUUUAUUGCAUGACAUUGGCAUUCAGACUUAGGUUGUUACAGGAGAGUUUAUGUCGGCAGAGGAUUAGGAAAUAAAUAGUCCAGUUCCUUUUAGAAGAUAUUUUUUACUCUUUGGUUUUUGAUGAAAUGACAAGGUACACUAGCUUGAGUCAGUGAAGUAAUUGUUUGAAAAUUUACUUGGAGGGAACAGUGUGAUAUUGCUUGGCAUAGAGUAUGGAAUGGAUUGGUAAAUGUAGACUAAACCUUACAGCCACCUGCUAAGAAGGUUAAGAUUACACUGAUGGUACCAUCAAGCGUGUAUAUCAGAAGUUUAACCAAGAUGUGUGGUUUUUUUUGCCUUGACAGCAAAUUGUUGAGUUAUCUCAUAAUAUGAUUUUUUAUAUAAGACAGCUAAUCCAGCUGCAUUGGAUUGCAGAACACCUCCAUCAAUUAUUAGCUUUUAGGCAGCAUCAGAUUUUUUUUUUACUUCAUAGGUUGUUACCAAGGUAUCCAUGUUCAUCAUAGCCUAAACAGAUAAUGGUGGGGGUUUCCUGAUAAUUUAGGUGAGUAUUGUGGGAUUAAAUGUCAUUUAAAGUUAGAUUGAUGUUGACUUAAAUGCCAUUUAUCUAUUCCUGCUUUAUUUUUUCAAUAAUUUCAACUGGUUCAGACUUCAAGUUAUGGAAUUGGACAAUGAUUUUUUUCCCUUUUAUCCGGAUGCAUCUUCAUUUUUACCUUUAAUAAAGACCACAAUUUUUUUUUUCCAAUCUUGAUGCAGCUUCAUAAAGGAAUAAAGAAGUCUGGCAUAAUGGGGUUUUGUGAUCCCUGUCCUGGAGAGCCGUCACAAUUACUAGUGGAAUACACAUUCAAGGGCAAGAACUACAAGGUUUUGGUUUUGUUGUAUUUGGUUAUUCAUAUUGGGAUUAUACUUUUAUAUUAAUCUUGUUGUUUUCCAUUGGGUAGGUAGUGGUUGAUGACUAUGACUUAUUGCGAAUCCCAAAUGAGACACACAGAAUCUGAGGCCUCAUUGUUGUUGGUGUUUGAGACAUCAAACAAUUUUGCAUGAAUUGAAAGUGGGUGAAAUAAAAGCCGCCCUCGUGCCGUUUUCCCAUACUUUUCAGUGUCUCAUGGCCUCUAUUUAGCUUAGAUUGUAGGAUAACUGAAAAGCAUGUUGAAUUGUAUCGUCCAUGUGAAUAUUGACUGUUGUUGGUCUUGAAGAUUUCAUGUCAGUGCAGGCAGAGUUCAAGUUCAUAUAGGCCAAAGGCAUAAUAACUACUGUGAUUUCUAAACUAUUCAUUCCUUCCUGUAUCAUCACAUAUGAUGUAUGAGUUGUUCCUGUAUUUUUCUGGGAUUUCAUUUUUAGAGGUAUGCAACAAAAAAAAAGAUCAAGCAUCUGUCAGUAUGUUGUCCAUCUUGCACAAACCUUAAUCAUCAGAAGUAGCCGAAGGAAGGUUGUUGUUUGUUUGUCUUGUGUGUGUGUGUGUUUGAUGGCAGUUGAUGAACUCUGCAACAUGUUUUCACAUUGUCAUAAGGAAUUAGACUCCGUGAAUGCUCAUAUUCAUUAGUGUCAUUUUACUGCAAAGAAUGAUUUCGAGUUAUAAAUAAUAAUUUAAUUGGUGAAAAAUGAAACAAACAGCCGGACCAGAAAUUAUUAUUAUAUCUUUGGUAUGAUUAAGAGGCUAAAUAACACUUACACAAAUGUACAUUAAAAUCCUUUAAAUUAAUUAUUCAUGUAGUUAAUACACUCAAACCUCGACCCUCCGUAAUUGUUGAUCACCAUAGUGACAUUAAAACUUCAAUCGACAUUAAUUUCUCUUCGAUUUGAAAUAUAAAUUUUAAAAAUUCUAAAUAAUAUACUCUUAACUUAGUAUUCUAUAUUCAAGUGUAAUAAGUGAAGUGGGAAAGGGCAUUUUAGGUAUUUAAAUCUUAAUAUUUUUAAAUCUAUUAAUAAUCACUCCCCUCUAAAAACCCACGGCCACCUCAAAUUAAACCCUAAUCGGAUUCUCCUCGACCCGAGGAGGGGCCAAUAAAACCUCAAUCGGAUUCUUCUUACCUCUCCUCAACACAACGAGGGGGACAAGAAAUUAUUCGUGACGCAUCUUUUCCUCUCCAUAGGCGAACGGCCGCGGCGGCAGCGUCUUCCUCCAGCGUGCUCGUCGUCGGUAUCUCUCACCUCCUCCUCCUUCGCCGUCGUCCAACUCUGCCGUAGCCGCCAGCGUCUUCCCCUCCCUCUUCUUCCACUUCUCCGCAGCGCUUUUCCCCUCCCUCUCUUGCCCCCACCUUCGCCGUAGCCACACGACUUCCCUUGUCUCUUCCUUCCACCCGCCGCCAGCGUCCCCUCUUCUUCGCGUUGUCGCAGCUGUCUUUCCCCCUUCCUCCCUGCGCCGACAGCCUCCUUCUCCUCCCUACGUCGGCGUCUUCCCUUCUCCUCCCUAUGCCGGCGGUUUUCUCUGUAGCAUCGUUUCACCCCCGCGGCUAGCGUCUUCUCCCCCUUCGCUACGCUGCGGCCGCCCGCCGGCUUCCCGACAGCCUCCUCCUCCCUCUUCCCCUCCCAACCGACGACAACCCACAGCGACCCAACUGACAACAAUCAGACAGCCACCCCGAUCGGUAGCAACUCUCUUCCAUAUUCGGACCCUUCAUCCUUGCUCUCCUCCCCAUAACCAACAAACCCCUUUCCGUCCUCCUCCUCCUUCUACGUUACUUAUUUUAUUAAUAUCAAUGAACAAUGUAAUUUGGUCUUUCUGUGUUUUUUUGUUUUUGUUUUUGUUUUAGUGAUUAUAUCCAUUAGUCAUGAUAUAUAUUUUUAAAAUUUUAAUAAUCGGGCUCGCCUUGCUUUGCACAGGCGAGUGCAUAGCACCUUGGGCGUUUUGGCCCCUUGGCGCCUUUUAGCGCCUCUCGCCUUUGAUUACAUUGGCCUUGAAUCGUUGUCUCAGGUCGGCAAUGACAACGGAUCAAGAACAAGCGCACAAGUCCCACCGAUCCCACAAAUCGGGGGCUUCCUCUAAGAAAAAGAAGAAGAACCACGGCAGUUCGGAGCUGGAUGCAAAGGAGCGGAAUCCCAAGGUUUUGGAAUCUGGGCGCCACUUUCUUUCUGUUUUAUUUUUGGAUUGUUUCAAGGGUUCUGGUCUCAAAUUACAGCUAUGUUUUCUGGUAGGCAUUUGCUUUUAAUUCAUCGGUGAAGGCCAAGCGUCUACAGUCCCGUGCUGCGGAGAAAGAACAGCGCAGGCUACAUGUCCCAACCAUCGAUCGUUCUACUGGAGAGCUGCCUCCUUUCAUUGUUGUUGUACAGGGGCCUCCCAAGGUAACAUUUUGACCCGGGAAUGUUGAGCACAAUGUCAUUUUUUUAACUAACUCUUGUAGAGGGAAUUUUAGAAGGUUGAAAUAUGUAGGGUGAUAAUGUAAUUUGCAGGUUGGGAAAUCCCUUCUGAUAAAGUGCCUGGUAAAGCACUACACAAAGCAUAAUUUAUCUGAAGUCCGUGGUCCAAUCACUGUUGUCUCAGGUUUAUAUACUUUUGUGUUUAUCUUUGGGCUUCCAUUUCAUUUUAUCUGAUUCUUAUAUGAAUUUUAUGUGGAAGUAAUAGAAGCUUGGUUCAUUCAAUUACUCCAGGAAAGCAAAGGAGGGUGCAGUUUCUGGAGUGCCCGAAUGAUAUUAAUGGCAUGAUAGAUGCUGCGAAGAUUGCUGAUCUUGCAUUGCUUCUAGUUGAUGGAAGUUAUGGUUUUGAGAUGGUAAGCAGGAUUAUAAUAUUUUUCUUUUGUUGACGAAAAAUACUUGAUGGACUAUAGUAUCAUGCUUUGCUAAACAAAGGUGUUUCUACCGAGGUUGAGUCCAUAGAUGUACUUUAUCUAACAGAGGGAUUAGCCUUCGGCAGUCUUCUUCUGUACACCCAGAAAACCCAUGUGAUGAAUGCUGCAGAUGAAGCAUUUCUUAGUGUGAUGGGCAUGUUAUGCUAGGUGUCAGGGAUUUAAUUGACCUAUGCUGGGAAUCCGAAAAGCCAAGAAUUCUGUAAAGUUAGAGAACUUUGUAUUGAUAUUGAUAACAGUUUAUCAUGUGAUUUUUUGGAAAAGCAAAUACCCACCAAGACACCAUCUGUUUCUUUCCCUUUUUGCUCCUAUAUUAAUUGGUACUCCAAUUAAAACAGGCAGCUCUUUGUCAUCAUUAUUGUGUUGUAUGAUGUGUAUUCAAUUUUCUUUUAUUCGUAACAAUGUUCAAAGAGGUUUCUUCAAACAUGUGGGCAACUGAUAUCCAUUUAGUAAGGAUUAACCACUAGAUGGGGGCUCCUAGUCAUUUUUAGUGAAAAGCAGUAUUUUGAAGUUGCUGUUAAUUUAGAAGUAUUGGUGUGAGGUGCAAAUUAUAAUACUAUAGAGCUUUGAAAGAUCUGCAAAUAGUUAAGAUGAUUAUUUUUUUGAUCAUGAAUUGCUACUAAGUACGAUCUUUAAAAAACAUCUAUGUUAACAGAAUAAAGUUCUGAGGUGCUGAAGAUUUUAUAUUAUAAAACAUUCAGAAAUUUUACAUUUUAUUUGAAUGUUGUAUAUUCUAAAUCUCAUUUAGAUCGGAUGGAAUCAUAUGCAAGUCACAGCUCUACAAUAUGGUUCUGAAUAUUUCAUUUUUCACAGUGAAAUAGAAUUUAGUAUGUCGAGACAAUUAAUUUUACAAAUGUAUAUGAAACAUAUGAAGAUAUUUCCUUAUUCAGUUUUGUCAUUAUUAUGGUUUCUAUUUACUCCUAAGAAAAAAUCUCACCUGUUAAGAAAGGUGUACGACUGCAAAACAAAGAGUAUAAUACUGUUUUCUUAUAUAUUCUGGAUAUGUCAUGCUUAUAUGCUCAAGUUCACUUGCCUCUUACUGUCUCAUUGGUGGUUAUGAUUAUAAAUUUGAAAAUCUUUCUUUUCAGGAAACUUUUGAGUUCCUUAAUAUCUUGCAAAUUCAUGGUUUCCCAAAAGUUAUGGGAGUUCUUACACAUAUUGACAAAUUCAAGGAUGUUAAGAAACUGAGAAAAACUAAACAGCGGUUAAAGCAUCGAUUUUGGUCUGAGAUUAAAGAUGGUGCAAAAUUGUUCUAUCUAUCAGGUCUUGUUCAUGGGAAGUAAGUAACACUCAAAUUAGCAUAUUACUUUUGAUAUCCUGUUUCCCUUAUAAUUAUGGUAUUUUGAGAAUCUUACUUUUUGAUGAUUCUGAUGGUGCCCUAGGCGCACCAAGGAGUUGUUUAUUGUUGGUCUCAUCGGUUGAACAUCACAUGCGCAAACCCUACAACCAUGCACAUGUUGGAUUGUUCAAAAUAAGCAUGUUACAUAGGAGUUGUUUAUGUAUACCCAUGCACAUAUGAAACCUUUCAUACUUGUGAAACUAGUCUUGGAUUAGAUGGUUCUAUCACCCACUGUUUUUGUAGAUGUUUCAAAAUGAUGUGCAUUGUUUAAGAUGAUUUACAUGCUCUAUAUCACAUAUGAAAUUCUUCUUUUGAAGGCAUUGCCUAUUCUUUGUUUUGGAAGAUUCAGUCUAUUUUUUCAGAUGAUCUGAUGGAUGUGCAAGAUCCCUUUCAAUCUUCUUUCUUGUAUGUGUAUCAGUUUAAAUUUGUAAAUUUUCUUGAAAGGGCAGGAUUUUUUCUUUGAAAUCACUUACGUCUAUCUGUUUGAUCUGAUCGGCUAUCUUUUAUGGUAGUCUUUAUGUACAAUCCUAUUCACUGAAUGUAUGCUUAUUCUUUAUUCUUUUACAUGACAACAGGUAUCCUAAACGUGAAACUCACAAUCUUGCAAGAUUCAUCUCAGUCAUGAAAACCCAACCAUUAUCAUGGAGGUCUUCUCAUCCUUAUAUAUUGGUUGACCGUUUUGAAGAUGUCACUCCCCCUGGAAGAGUGCAUACAAAUAAUAAAUGUGAUAGGAACAUCACAUUGUAUGGUUAUCUUCGAGGUAGCAAUAUGAAGAAAGGCACGAAGGUAUUCUUUCCAGCCUCUUGUUACCUGGUUCUCCUGAAUGAUUCUGCUGUGUAGUUUUUCGUGUUAAAAUGAUUUUCUUACAUCUUAACAAAUUAUCAUGUGGAAUUUUAUUUUUUAAUUUAUUUGUAAAAAUAAUUUUAUGCUUGAGUUCUGUUAUUGUCUUUUGCUACUCUUGUUCUCAAAUUUUCAGUUCUUUGAUGGAUAGUAAACACGUCUGUGAUGUCUACCUGAGUUAGAUAUUGGUAGAAGAUAUAUUAUGACAUUUUUUUAAUAAGAAAGUAUGGAAUCUUUUAUCAUCUCAAAGAAUAACCACAAUCCACAGUCUUAAAACCAGAUGCACAAUUAAAAAGAAAAGGUACAACUAACAUUAGCACAUUUGUCACAUAUCUAUGGCGAUAAUUUUUUGUGAGCAGCCAUAAAUUUUGGGAGGAGAGGGGUGGCAAGAAGGGAAGAAAAUAAAUGGGUGGCAGAAUUGGGUGUCCAAGGGCGAGCGAGUGAUUGUGCAGUGGAUUAAGUUCAGCAGAAUUGGGUAUAAUUAUAAUAGAGUCAGUACCUCACAUUCGUUGGGAUCAAUGUUAGCUAUCUGUAACUGAGUUAUUGUGAAUUUCAAAGAUAUAGAGCUUGUCCAUAACAAAGAUUUAACAUACAAUUUUUCUCAGUGUGGGAAACAUGUUGGCUAAUCAUAAUAGAUUGAGCAAAGUGGAAAACAAAAAAAAAAUGUUAUUUGUCUGUCUAUGGUUAACAUGAUGCUUAGCCCAUUUUCAUGUGGGACGAACUACCACCUAACAUAUUUUUGAUCCCUUGUUGGGUGUGAUUGCUGAAGGUGGAGGGUGAGGCUUGAGUAGUAAAUUGUUCAACUUAGGUUUAAGAUUCACUGGUAUUCACUGUUUGUCGGUCUGGGUAAACAAUGAGGACCGAUAUUAGGAUUUUUUCUGUCUUAGAAACAUUUUGGAUCAAACCUGAAAAAUUAGAUAUGGUAUAAGUCAGCCAUCGAGGUUAUAGUCCCUCUACCCACUCAGAACCUCAUGCAAGUUGAAUAAAAGUGAAAUUCUAAAUUUGUUGGUAUUUUAUCUUGGUAACAAUGACUAAGAGUCUUAUUUUAGGAAAUUUGUCUGUCUGUCUGUCUCAACUCAACAUAUCGGAUUAAACAUAAAAAAUCAUGGUAGAUGUGAACCAUUAAUUGGGAUUUUAUUCCCUCUUGCCUCUUAUAACUUUGUGCUAGUCAGAAUCUAUUGCUUGCUAUGAAGAAUUUAUAUUUUACAUAUGAUCUACAAGAGUAUGAAGAUAUCCAUAUGUGGAUCUACGAUCUAUGAUCUAUUUUGCCUUGAAUUGUGUUAAACAAUUUUGUUUGUGUAGGCUCUAUUGUGUAACUUCUGAUUCAAUAUUAUUAAAUUCCACUAUUCUACAAGGUUGCCGUAGAAAUAAGUUAUCUGUUCAUUUUAUUGUCAUUCAAACUAGAAAGAGAAAGAGCCUUUUGUCCUAGAAGAAAAUAGAAGGGAAGUAAAGAUUUUAAUAUUUUAUCACUAUAAUUAUAAGAGAAAGUAGCUAAGUGCUCCCACGGCAGUGACAAGGUCUUGUUUGGAGAGAUAAAACUCUGCUAAUCUAAGCAACUUGUAUUUUCAUCAAUUCCUUAAUAACUUUUGCCUGUAUUUCUCUACAAUUAUUUGUUAAUUUUUUGUUACUGCUAAGGUCUGUGGUUGUUUCCGGGCUUGUCAUGGUACAAAAGCAUGAUGGAUUGCUGCUCUUAUCAGUGAUUUUGUUGCAUGAGCUGCCAAGAUUAUGCGAAAUCCUGUUAAGCAGUGUUAGGCACCAUAGUCAAUUGUCCUCGGCUCAUGUAGAGAUGAUAUCUUGAUCAUUCUCAUUAUUUCAGUGGAUCUGUUAUCAUCGGUAGCGUUAGGGUAGCUUAGUCAUCCAUUAGGAUUGGUGUAAUAGCUUGGAAUUUCGUGUAGGUGUCUUAUAGUGGGUCGGCCAACCCUUGGUAGUGCUUUUGCAAGGACACGAUGAUGAUAAUCCAAUGAUUAGAUUUGUGGUUGUUGCACUAGAUUUUUGUGGUUGCCACAUUGUUGUAGUUUCAAUUUUAUUGCAUGGGGAAUUAUUUUGAUGUUAACUUUUUGCAUGGUGUUGUUACUGGAUAGACUACUGUUCACUCUACUCCUAAUAGGAAAUGGAAGAAGAGUAUUCCUUUCUGCUUGGCAUCAGUUUGGACCAUUGCCUAUUCUUUCUGGUGGUUGGACGUCUCAAUUUUGGAUCUCAAUUUCAUCCAAUUUCAGCUCUUAGUUCUACCUGAUUGUAAUAGGACUUGACAAUCAUAUUUUUUGGUUAGAUGAGGACUGCCUAUAGACCAGGUUGUGGCUGUCUUACGUCUGCUUGGACCCAAUGCUAAUUUGAGCAAGUCAAUUGAUCUGAAUCACUAAUUCUCUGGUCUUGGAUGGGCUGGGCUGGACUGAACUUGCACUGCUAAGUAUAUUUUAUAUUUUUGGUUUUUCACCUGUCAAAUAUUUAUUGUACAACAUAGUGAGGAUCUGAUACAGGAUUAAGACAUUGAUAUUUGACCUAUUCUGAAUAUAUUCAAGAUGUUUGACCAAUGUGCUGUAUAUUAUGCAUCUUCAAUUAAGUUAAGAACAAAAACUGAAUAAAUAAGAUUGGUUUCUUUUGGGUUUUGAUAGUUCUUACUCUUUAUGUUGUCUUAUUACAAGAAUAGUUAGACAUAUGUCCCAUUAAGAUGAUAUUUGUACUAUUUUUAAAUUGUUGUGUUUUGGAUUGUUAAUCACUGGUCCACAUUUGUCUGCUGAUGAGUUAAUCUUAUAUGUUCAAUUAUGGCAGGUGCAUAUUGCUGGUGUUGGUGACUUUGCAUCAACUGGAAUAACUAGUCUGGCUGAUCCCUGCCCUUUGCCUUCAGCUGCCAAGAAGAAGGGACUGCGGGACAAGGAGAAACUAUUCUAUGCACCCAUGUCUGGUCUUGGGGAUCUUCUUUAUGAUAAGGAUGCUGUUUAUAUAAACAUUAAUGAUCAUCUUGUUCAAUUUUCUAAAGUUGACGAAGAUACUAGUGCUUCUGGGAAAGGUAGGUAUGCUAUAUAUGUUGAAUUAUAUAAAAUUUCUACUUUUAUGGCAGUGUUGGAUUAUUUUGAUUGCUACAUCUUUCAUAUGGGUAUGUAUUUUUGACAUUUUCCUAAAUUUUUAUCUAAAUUUUGGAGUGGCAUUCCUAGUAAAAUUAUAUGACCAGGACAUAUAAUUGAUGUUCUGUAGUCAAGAACUGUUCAGCAUACCUAAAUUUCUUCAUAUAUGUUUUUUGAUCUGAACUUCAACAAACAAAUUUUCUAGUAUUUGAUGUUCAGUGCUCUUUUACCUUAUCAUCAAUAAAUUAAUCCAGAAAUAGGUGAACUUUUCUCCACUAAUCAAUGAGAAAGUUAUAGACUAAAAAAGCUUCAUUUUUGUAUUUAGAUAAUUUAGAAUCUAAGAGUCACAAAAAUCAUGGUACAACUGGAUAAUGUAGUUUUAAGCAAGGAUUGAAUUUUGGGUCUGUGCUAGUGUACUGACACAUGGUAUCCUAGCACAUAUCACGUACCUAAAAAGGUCUAUCGAAAACCUUUCAGAACCAUCUUUCUCAACUUUUCUUGACAAAAACAAUUAAUAUUCAUAGCAUUGAAGUGGUUUCAAUAUAAAAAAUAAAAAAAUACUAAGUUAAAACAUAUAUUGAAUAAAAAUCAAUGGUAGUGUCUAAAGAUUAGAUUUUACGGAAAGAAUAAAUUUAAUGUAGAAUAAAACAUAUACAUGCUCCUACCACGAAAAUAAUGAGGGUCUGUACACAAACUGUAAAUCGAUAUGGUAUCUGCAAGAUUCAUGCAUGGAACUGCUGCCAUGACGUCUGACAUUGAUAAUAGUGUGGUAGCACCCAUGUAGUUGGGAGGUGUAUCUGACAAGUAGGACUAAUCUAUAGGAUGAAGUGCACUAAAGUUGCUGCUCUUGUUACUAUACUGCUGUUGCAUACUGGAGGAUAUAUCCAACUCUGAAAAAAAAUGAUCAACUUUCACCAUGCAUCUCCUGGCCAGGAUAGUAGGAAUGAUAUGAAUAUGAUGAAUUCAUCUUUUCAUGAUCAUUAGUUGUCUUCAUCUUACUUUUAUCUUGGCGGGGAUAAAUUAGGUGUGUACCUCCUUAUGCUCUGUGAUUCAUAUCAUGUAUGACAUUGAAAUACUGCUUCUUGGUCCGUGCCUCACCCGUCAUAUAUGAAAAAAGUUUGAAGUCAUAGAAUCUGUCUGGAUCUUUUAGGUGGAGUUUUAAACAGGAGUUAGAAGAGUAGAUGAUGUAAAAUUAAAGUAGUGAAGUUUUACUGGUAUUCAACACUAUAUUGGUCUUUCUUCUUUUUCUAGGUGAGCCAGUUUUUAUGUAUUUAUUUGUGAGUCAUUAUGAGUUUAUGAAUGAAAAAUGCUGACUAUUGUACAAAGAAUCAAUGCCUUAGUUAUUAUUCCUAUGUAUCUAAUGUGUUACAGCAGCUAGUAUAUUUUUCCUUUUCUGUGGCAGUGUGACUUCUACCCUUCACUUUCACUAUGGUCUUAUGAAUCUGUUUAUCUUUGAUUACUUGUUGGGUUGAUUUUGCUGGACCUGUACUAAACAAUAAUUGAGAUUACCAUGUUCCUUGUGUAAAAAAGGUUCCAAAGUCAAUGCCACUUUGAGGCCAUUAGUCAUACUAAGUCAAGGUUCGGUGUUGAAGCAUUUUUUUCCCCCCUUUUUUGCUCCUACCUUUUACAUAAACUAGCCCGUAUAUGAUCCAUGUAUUGUCAACCUUUCCAAAAAUGGGACCGAGAGCUUAUGGUCACUGCUUUCAUCUAUUGUGAAAUCAAUUUUUUUUUCGGUUGCAACCCUUUUUUUAAGCUCCCUUUAUGCAUGUUUUGAUAAUUUAGGAGCUGGGCAUAUUGAUAUUACUGUAGUCAUUAUCGAGAGCAGCAGAUGCUCAAAUUUUGUGUCAUCCACCUUUAUAUAUCAUUGAAGUCUUAUUUGUUUGAUUUCUUGUUUAGUCCAGCCGAAAUCAAUUUUGCAAAUAUUUUCAUGCAUGCUAAGUGCAGAAAAUACUAGGUCUGGUUUGUAGGAACCCUGGCUAUAAUUCCCAUUAACAACUUGAUAAGCAUACUUUAAGGGUUAAACAUGAUUAGUGUUGAAAACCAAAGUUUAUAAUGUGCCAGUCUACAUCACAUAGAGGAGGUAAACAAGUGUUCCAGUUUGUGCAACUGCAUUCUACCCCUACCAGUAAACUGGAAUACUUAUAGGUUACAGAUUCAUUGUAGGCUGAUUAGUGUAUAAGAUUCAGCUUCCAAGUUGGCCAUUUCUAGAUAAUGCCAGUCACAAAAGCUGAUGAUAUGUGUUUUAGUUUUUUGUCAGCUAAAUAAACUUUUACCUAAUUCUUUUGAAAACUUCAUUAGUUGGACAGAUCUUCCAUCUUCUCCUGUUGAUUUCUUAUCUCACAAAUUUUUUUCUUUGUGAUUUUUGCUCAAUUUUAUAAUAAAUGCCUUCAGGAAACGAUCGUGAUGUUGGUGUGGCCUUGGUGAAAACACUUCAGAACACUAGAUACUCCAUUGAUGAGAAGUUGGAACAGAGUUUCAUAAAUCUUUUUGGUAGGAAACCCCCUUCUGCAUCUGAUGAUAAUGUUGAUGCAAAUGAAAGUAGGUAUAGUCAAAGACAUGUUAGCAUCCUGGAUCGAGAGGAUGAUGAUCGUUUGGAUGACAAAGAAGUAUCAGAUGAUGAUGGGAAAAAGGAGCUCAUUGCAGAAAGUGAAUCUGAUGAUUCUGAUGGGGACAACAAUUGUACCAUGGAUGAUGAUCAUGAAGGUGAUCAACAGAUAACAGCAUUUAGCCACGAUCUGAAGGAAGAAAUUGAGUUCCAUAAUGGAAGGUUCAGGAGAAGAGUUAUUUCAUCUGACUAUAAAUAUAAUGGUGAUCUGCAGGUAAACUACUACCUAUGCUGUUGGUUUUUCUUCUGUCAAUUGGUUCAUAGAUUCAGGGAAAAAUGUGAUAGCAAUUUAACAGAGACUAGAGAUUGGACCUUGGGUACAACAUGACAGUUAUUCUGCAUCAAACAUUUUUUCUUGAAGUUGCUAGAGAAGAGAGAUACAUGAAACAUGGUGAAUCAUUUGUAGUUUUCUAAUUGAUACUGCUGCAUGUUUUUUGUGACAAUCUUAAUUUUUUCUCGUCGAUUCUUGAUCCUUUUCGUUCACUUUAAUUUAUUUGCUUGUCGAUUUUUAACUUCUCUUCAUUCUUUCUUAUGAAUAACUGCAGUAACUACUAUAUAAGUACUAAUUGUUGUUUGGCGUUUUUCUGUUAGUUGCACUGUACAGUGAAAAUUAUCUGUGUAAAAGCUACAAAUCAUUUGCUCUGUGUCAAGAUGAGGUUUCUUUUCAGAUCUUUACAUAUUUAUUGUCAACUAUACUAUCACCACUUGAACAUGAAAAUCGCCGAGGAAUAUUAAUUGAUGGUGAUACUGCUUGUUUACUGUUUUGAUUAUAAUAAAAGGUUGAACUGUAAUCAACUGUUAUGUUUUGUAGACAACGUUCAAGUAAAUCUUGAAAAUUUUUAUAGAGGCAUCAGCUGAUACAGCCUUUUCAUGCAAAAUAAUGGAAAUAAAGUUGAAUAGCCAUUCAUAAUCCUGUAACAAUGGUUUUUGUUUUUGUGUGGGUCUUGAAUAUAUUUCUGCUUGUUGGGACAUUAUGGCUUCUUGUCCUUGUUUUUGUGUGAACAAAAUUGCUUCUUCACUACAUCUGGUUUCUUCAUAACAUGAACUCAUUGUACUCUACAGGAGGCUAACACAAUUCUCUCUGUAAGAUGGAUAGUUUUUGUUUUUCUGUAGUGCCAGUUGAUCAGCUCUGGAACGUUAUAUGGGUUCAGUUAUAUAAUUUUGGUUUGCUGGUGAUUUCUUUUUGGAUUAAGACACUCUUUUUGUUUCCAUUGAGCUUGGCCUUUUUCACAACUUCAGAAAGAUCUCGAGCUGUGCUUGUAUUGUUUUGAUUGAAGGUGAAUCUGGCUGGUUUAUGCCAAAUAUUAUAAAAAUCUUAUUGAUAGGUUAGGCAUAUGCUAGUUUCAUCAUAUGCCCGUGCAUGUAACUAUGUGAAGUACAUUCAAUAGCAAGGUUGGUACUUUUGAGUAAUUAAUUAUUGAUAGGUUGGGUAACCAAGAAACACCCUCAAGAAUUAGCUGAAGGCUGAGAAAUGCUUCUGACGACCACUUUAUUAAACCAUUUUUUAUUUAACGAGGUUAGUUCUCUUUGAAAAACCAUCCAAUAUUUUGGUUGGUCAAAAAUUCCAAUACUAUUUUACCAAAUACGAGAAAGAAUUGCAUAUAAUGAUACCAAAUACUAUUUCACCAAAUACAGAUUGGUACACUACCUGGUAUACUGGGACCGAGCUGGUCUGAUAGAUUACUAAAAUUGAUAUUGGACUGACAUUUAAAUCCUUGACUUCAGUCUUCGAAAAUCAUUCUCAUAUUAAUGGCACUCAAAGUUUAAUGAAAUACUUUGUUUUCUUACCUUGUUUGUGAUGAGAGACAAGCUUGAAAGACAAUAUUGGAGGUUCACUUGUGGAAAAGCAAUAUUUUAUUGAUUAAAUUUGAGUAACAACAUUAUUGACUUUUAGUUUCUACAAUCCUUGAUCUGUUAGACUAAAUUUCCAUUCAUGAGUUUUCAUAUAAAAAUGUUAAAUGCAGAAAAUUAACCAUUAUGUUCAGCUUUAUCAUGGAGCUAAUGAGCCAUCACGUACAAGCAGAUGUAAUAACUCCAUGUAAAAUUAUAUAUAUGGACAAAGGAGCAUUUGCACUUUUAUACAAAUCACUUUAAGCACUUAGGUUAGAAGUAACUUUCUCUGUUCUCGUUCCUCAAUAAUUUCCUUUGUUUCUUGCAUAAGUACACAAACAUUGGGUGGAUAAUAAAUUUGGUUAAUCAAUUCUGUUUUAUGAUUUGAGUGAUUUAGCAAUUAGCUGCUUUGUUUCUGCAGGUCUGACAUUUAACCUUUUUUUGCUUCAGGACUCUGAAGGAGAUGACAUGCAAGAAUUGGAUGAUGACGAUGACGAUGAUGAUGAUCUGGGUGAUCAUAUGGAUGUUGGUUCUGAAUCUUCUGAAGGUGAUGAGGAUUUGAAUUCAGGUACGUAUGAAGCAUAUAGCUUUUUUUUUUCUUUUUUGAUGCAAAAGCAGUGGAGCUGUCCUUAGCAUAAAUCAUAUAUUAUAAGCACAGUAAGGAAAGAAGAUAAGAUGAGGGAGAAGAGUCAACGAAGGAAAAUAAAAAUAGGCACCUGCAAAUAGGUUUGCUCCCUGAAAAACUAUUAAAAAUGUGCCCUGAUGCUUUGGUAGAAGUGUGCAGGAAGUCUCUGAACCAAGCAAGGCUACACUUAAGUAUGUCGGAGGUCUCGCAAAAAACACCACUGUGAAUAUGUUAUUUAUUUAUUUUUUCAUGUUGUCCAACAGAGAUGGAUGAUGAGACCAAUUUUAGAAUUCCAUAUGGGAAAGAAGUGAAUUUUUCUGAUGGAGAGAAAGAAUCGGAAGAUUAGUAGGGAACAAUGGUAUUAGUUGAACAGAGGGCAUUCUGAAUCUUGUGAGCUACAGGAGAACACAGAAGGAUGUGAUCAAUCAUUGCAAAUUGGGCUGAGCAAAGUGAGCAUGUCAUCCAGCAUCCUGAGGAAUACUUGCCUUGAGUGAGUUUUAUUUUUGAUAUUGAGCCACAUGAAUCAUUGACCUCUAGGAAUGCUGAGGCUUUUCCAAAUAUGGUAAAUGCACAAAAACAGCCUUUGAAUUUUAGGAGUUUACUGAAGGAUGCCAUUGAUAAGUGGGCAUUGGGGUUCUAUUCCGAAGAUGGUUUCCAGAUUAAUUAUGAGGAAGAGAAGGGAAAUGACUUGGAUUUAGAUAAGGGGUUCCAUUCCAUAGAUAAUGCACAAUAUCUGUAUAAUGUCUGAUGCACAAUAUCUGUGUAAUGUCUGGAACUAUCAUGCUUCUGAGUGAGGAAGCCACAUUAACAGUGGGAUAAUGGAUGCAAUUAAUUAAUGCAGUGAAGAGAUAGUCAAGGUGAAAGACUUGGGCCAUGCAUCUUUUCAGGAAUAAGUGAGAGGAGACUAUGAAAGUUGUUUGACGUUUAGGAUUCCUUGCCAUAUUCGAGAUAGCUGGCCUAUGACCUUGGAGUUAUCCAGAAGAGCCUGCUUUGUUAAUAUUCUCAGAAAAAGAGACUAACGCCUUCCAUGUAAAUGUGCCUUUGGAAAGGGCUAUCUCUUACCAUUUGGCCAGUAAAGCUGUUUGGUUAUUUCUAAUUAUUGUUAGUUUGUUAUCAGGGUCGAGAUUGAGCAUAUAGUUCUUUUUGUUUAACCAUUAAGUGUAGUUCACUUAUUGUUCUUUCAUGAACUUCAUCUGGAUUUGGUUGCCACAAGUUCCAUGACUAAAAUGUUGGUUGAGAAAGCUUUCAUUUCUACUAAAUGUUUAUGCAAACUAUGAUGAGGAAUAUAAAAUCUCACAAUCAUUCUACUUUUCUCAAUUUUGCAUUGUAGAGGAUGAAGGAGAAAAUGUGUCCAAGUGGAAAGAAUCAUUGCUUGCUAAGACUGUGUCAAGACAAAAUGGUAACUUAAUGCAACUUGUAUAUGGCCGAAAUGUAACGGCAUCAACAACCACUUCACAGGAAGCACAUGACAGCAGUGAGAGUGAUGACAGCGAUGAGGAUUUUUUUAUGCCAAAGGGAGAGAGGACAAAGGUAUCUUGAUGAUGCUUUAUACAGAUUUGUUUGCAUUGUUUGUUUUCUAGAAAUUUGCUGUCGUUUCUGUGAAUACAGUUAAUUUGGCUAGGUUGUUUAAAAUGAUUCCUUUAAAAUCAUUGUCUGCAGAAAUUAAGUGAUAAUUUAGAUGUUGAUAUUGUCGAUACGGAAGAUAGCUCAAAGUUCAACAACAUUCAACUCAAAGACUGGUCUGAUGAAGACCUUGUUAAAAGUAUUCGCGACCGUUUCGUAACAGGAGAUUGGUCCAAGGCUGCUCAAAGGGGUCUCGGAACAGAAGAUGUGGGAGAUAAUGAAACUGUUUUUGGUGAUUUUGAAGAUUUAGAAACUGGAGAGGUGUUCAAGGGAACUCCAGAAGAUAAUGAUAAAAGUAGUGGAAGCUUUCGCAUGGGAGAUGAACAAGAAAUGGAGGAGCGAAGACUUAAAAAGCUUGCUCUACGUGCAAAAUUUGAUGGUCAAUAUCCUUUUUUUCCUUAGCUGUUGCUUCUAUUAUUUAUUAUUAUUUUUUUAUAAUACUUGGACAAUUAGAUGAAUAACAGCUGAUAGUUAGUCACUGCCAGAGGCCCAUCUCUCUUAGUUCUUAUUGACAUUUCUUUCAAUGUCUAAAAAGGAUCCUCUUUGUCUUUUGCUUCUUGUGCUGAAAAAAGGUGCACAUUGUUAUGUCUGCCUUAACUUUGACCUACAGAUGAUGGAUCUGACCUAUCAGACGAGGAAGAACAUAACAAAAGGAAAAUCAACCAAAACCAAACUGAUGCUGGGGGUUAUUUUGAUAAAGUAUGCUUAUUUGGUUUAUACAAUCCUGGCUUUCAUUAAUGAUAGGACUUUGAAGAUGUAUUUUUUUUUGCAGUUAAAGGAAGAGAUUGAGCUCCGUAAGCAGAUGAACAUAGCUGAACUCAAUGAUCUGGAUGAGGCAACUCGUGUAGAAGUGGAGGGCUUCAGAAUUGGCACUUAUCUGAGAUUAGAAAUCCAUGGCAUUCCUUUUGAGAUGUUUGAGUAUUUUGAUCCUCGUCAUCCUAUUCUAGUUGGAGGCUUUGCACUUGGAGAGGAAAAUGUUGGAUAUAUGCAGGUUCUUGCAUGCCUUCAAUGUCUAUAUGAUUCAAUGUGGUUAUUUUAUCUUUGGGCUUCAGAGUUGGUAAUCAGUGCUGAAUUGCUAUGCUCAUCUGAGAAGCUGAUUACUCUUUGAAUUGAGAUAUUUAGCUGUACUUUUAAGCAAAGGAUUGUCAUGUUAGAUAUUGGACCCGUUUCGAUGUUCUGGUCGAAUUGGUAGGUAUUGGUCAGUACCAGUUUAUCAUGUGUUGGUACAUAUUGAUGUUUGAGAGAGGAAGAUAAAGGAGAAGGGGUACACCGUUAUAUAUAUAUAUAUAUAUAUAUAUAUAUAUAUAUAUAUAUAUAUAUAUAUAUAUAUAUAUACUACACACACACACACNNNNNNNNNNNNNNNNNNNNAUAUAUAUAUAUAUAUACACACACACAUACACACACACACACACACACACACACACACACACACACAUAUAUAUAUAUAUAUAUAUAUAUAUAUAUAUAUAUAUAUAUAUAUAUAUAUAUAUAUAUAUGUAGCCAACCCUGAACAGCUUUGUUGUUGUUGUAUGUGUAUAUAUGUAGUUCAUGGUCAAUUGUAGUGGCAUUUAUGUGAACAUGUGGCCUACAAUGUCUUUAACACUAACUUUAAUUGUCCGUUUUUCCUUAUUUCUCGAUGCUUGCCUUUGUUCAUUCCAUUACCAUUAACAAAUGGUUAAGUUAUUAUCGUGAAUAACAAAUUUAAUGUUGAUUUAUCGCUGUGAAAUCAUUAUUGAUUCUAUUAUCUAAUAUAUGUAGUUCUCCUUUUUGGGCAUUUAGGACAGGAUGCUUGGAUUCUUUAGUAUUAGAUGCUGCAAUAUGCAUUCUACAUAAUUUGCUGUGUUUGGUUUGUUUUUAUUGAUAUCUUCUGUUAUAUUACAGGCUCGAUUAAAGCGGCACAGAUGGCACAAAAAGGUCCUGAAGACAAGAGACCCAAUUAUCAUUUCAGUUGGUUGGAGGCGGUACCAAACAAUUCCUAUAUAUGCUAUUGAGGAUCGAAAUGGGCGGUAUCGCAUGCUGAAAUACACGCCGGAGCAUAUGCAUUGCUUGGCGAUGUUUUGGGGACCUCUUGCACCUCCUAAGACUGGAAUACUUGCUCUACAGACCUUGUCAAACAAUCAGGUACUUGUUUUUACUUUUUACUAUAUGGAAUCUACUGUAAUAUAUUGCAUUAGGUAGUCAAUAAUUUCUUAUCAAUUGAUAUUAAAAUUAGGGCACUAGGUGUGGAAUAUGUCAGCAAGAUACCUUUUGAUUAUAAUGCUAUAAAUAGGGUUGAUCUUGGUAUUGCACAGACAUGGACUUAUGAUUUGUAUAGGACAUUCUAAUACCCUCACGUGGUUACACACCUGAACAUGCAUGUGUCUAUCACAUGAGGGAAAAAAAGAACUCACUGUUCCGUUCUUGUUUUGAAGUUUUUUUUUGCUGAAAGCUGCAUUUUCAACAGACUGGAUUCCGCAUCACCGCUACAGGUGCAGUGCAAGAGUUCAACCAUGCUGCUCAGAUAAUGAAGAAGGUCAAGCUUGUUGGUGGUCCAUUGAAAAUCUUCAAAAAAACAGCACUAAUUAAAGACAUGUUUACUUCUGACUUGGAAAUUGCUAAAUUCGAAGGUGCAGCAAUUCGGACUGUAAGUGGUAUCCGAGGGCAGGUUAAAAAGGUAAAUUAUUUUGCAUUUGCAAUUUCUUUUAUUUGGGUGUGUUAUUUCUGCUUUGUUGGUUAUCUUUCUGCUCAUCAAUUAGUCGAUGACAUUGCAUUCUCUCUUUCAUGUGGAGGUUCCUAUUUCAGUCUUCCAUUCAGAUUAUCCUGGACUUUAAAAUGCUAAGAAAAAAAUUCUGGCUUAAGUUGUCAUAGUGAUUUCAAUAGGCGCUCGGGCACUCGCCUAGGCGCUCAGGCGAGGCGUGGCGAGGCCCGAGCUCCUCGCUUCAUUUCCAGGCGGCGCGCUUCAAAGAGGCACCGCUUGGGCGCUCGCCCGAGCCCAGGCCCCGGGCACUUCGGGCGAGCGCUUGGGUUAAACCAGGCGAGCGAACUAGCGUUUGAGGUAUGGUUCAGUCUCCGGUGCUUUAGUUGGUUCAAUCGAACCAACUAAAGCAUUGAUAUCAGCAUGACUUCCCCAACCCUAACCCUGCUCGCCGUUCACGCUACUGCUGCUCGUUGCCGCUGCUGUUGUUGCCGCUCGCUGCUACCGCUGCCGGUCCCACUAUCGUCGCUCGUCGUUGCCGCUGUCGUUGCUACUAUUGCCAUUGUCUCCGCUCGCGGCUUUCGCUCCCGCUGCUCGCUGCUACCGUUGCCACUGUCUCUACUCCCGCUCCCGUUGUUGUCGGUGCCAUUGUCGUCGCUUGCCGCUCCCGCUGUCGCUACUGCUACUCGCUGCUGCCGUUGCCACUGUCGUCACUCGUAGCUCCCGCUCCCGCUUUUCUCAAUCAACACUCUCGGUCUUUCGACUCUUCCCUUACACUCUUCUCCUCUUUCGAUAGUAUACUAUUAACAGUAUACUGUAUACUAUUAACUGUAUACUAGUAAUAGUAUUUGUAUUUAUUAGAUUAAUUUAAUAGCAUGUUUUUAUUUAAAAAUAUAAAUAAUUAUAUUUAUUAAUUAUAUUAUAUAUUUUUAUAUUUUAGCGCCUAGCGCCUCGGGCAUUUUUGGACUUUGGCGCCUAGAGCUUUUUAAAUCACUGAGUUGUCAUGAGUAAUUCUUUUUACAUGAUAUCUUCUGCAUUCCUCUUCCUCCCCCCCCCCCCCCCCGACAGUUGCCUUUUGUUUUUAUAUAAUUUGAUUUUAAAAUUUUAUUAAAACUUGCAUUGAAUUACUUUGUUACUAUAGGUAAUCUGGUUGUUUCCUUCAAUUUAUCACUGGGAUCUUGACAUGGAAAUUGCUUUCCUACAGUGCAUGUGUGUCACUUUACUUUACAUUCUUAUUUUAAUUGUUUGUUGGUUAUCUACAAUUCUAAAUUUUGAUGGCAGGCUGCCAAGGUAGAAUUAGGCAACCAACCAAAGAAAAAGGGUGAAAGUGUAAAAGAAGGGAUCGCAAGGUGUACAUUUGAAGACAGAAUUCUGAUGAGCGAUAUCGUUUUCCUGCGUGCGUGGACUCGUGUAGAGAUUCCACGCUUCUAUAACCCUGUGACAACAUCCCUGCAGCCUCGAGACCAGACAUGGAAAGGCAUGAAAACAGUAGCUGAGCUCAGACGGGACAACAAUCUUCCAGUACCAUUCAACAAGGAUUCAGUUUACAAGGUGCCUAGUUUGUUUUCUCAAUGUAGUUAUCAAAAUCAAUGGUUUCUUCUCUUCUUUGACACUAUUAAUUUCUUUGUUUUCUUUUUUGGGCAGCCAAUUGAACGGAAGCCAAGAAAAUUCAAUUCGCUGGUGAUCCCACGGAAAUUGCAAGCAGCGCUGCCAUUUGCUUCCAAACCAAAGGACAAGCCAGCUCGCAAACGACCAUCACUCGAGAGCCGGCGUGCUGUGGUAAUGGAACCUCAUGAGCGGAAGGUUCAUGCCCUCGUCCAACACCUUCAGCAAAUUAAGAACGAGAAGGUAAGAAAUUUUUCUUCUUGUAAGAAGCAACUCAAAUGUGUGCACUGCGGUGGUUGCAUUGAUUAGCUAUAUCAAGGCAGACUGGUUUACAUUGUGGGAUAAUGAGAAUAUUAAGUUGUGGAGCUGUUUCAUGGCUUCCUUAUAGUAGCUAAUGCCUGCAGUCACAGGGGUCUCCAUUUUAUGCCCAUGUUUGCUAAUGUUAGUUGGCUCUGGCAGAUGAGGAAGCGGAAGACCAAGGAGCAAGAGAAAAAGAAAGCAUAUGAAGCAGAAAAGAUGAAGCAGGAGCAGUUAUCCAAGAAGAGGCAAAGAGAAGAACGAAAAGAGCGCUAUCGCCGGGAAGAUAAACACAAAAGAACUCGUAGGAAAGUUGAGGAUUAAUAGCACCUUCAGCUAUCGACCAGUCACAUCUUAGAAGUUUGGACUUCAUAGAACAGUGAUGUAUGCUGGUCUUCAGGGUUCUCAUCCGCAAAUAUGAUGGUGAAUUUUAGAGAAAUGUCAAGUAUUUGAUUAUUUCUUUUUUUACCAAGUAUAAUUUCAUGAAAAAAGAUGGGAACAGAUUUCCAAUGGAAAACAAAUUGUAGGAUGGAACACUAAAGACCUUCUAUCUGAAGCAGCUACUGUAUCUUAAUUGUAACUUAUCUUUUACUGGAAGAAACUGAGCUACAUUUGGACGGUUUGAUACAAACAUUUUUAAGAGUGAUUAAAUGUUAUAUAUCACGGCAAAACAAGAGAGAGAGAGAGAGAGAGAGAGUACUUGAGUGUAUCAGAAUCUAUUCGACCAGUGUACUCAUCUUCCCUUGAUUAUUUCAAGCAGUCUCAUCACUGUUUGUCAAGUUGUAUCUUCCUUUAACUAACAUUUUGAACAAAAUGCUAGUAGUCUCAUCACUGUGACCAUGUUGAACAUAUUGCAAGCAGUAUCAUCACUAUGAACUCAUGCACGCUUUGGAUUUAAAUCAUAUGUUACUUUGAUCUUUCACAAAUCAAGCUUUAAGCUAUUUUAUUGCAAGCACAAAUAAUGGAGACAACCAUUUGCCACCUGUGUCGUCCAAGAAUUAUAAGCAUGAGUGUCCUAAAAGUGUCCACAAGCCUAAAUCAUGGCUGGGAAAAUGCAACUCAUUGGAUUGUCAGGAAAAGGGGUAUUGCAUUAUACUGAUAACUUGCAGGAAGAACAUGAUUGCAUUUUUAAGCUCUAAUUGCUGUUUAGAGAGACUUCAUUUCUUCUUCAUUCACAUGUCCAGCUUCUGUUUGACUAUUCAUCUUUGCUUCACACUUCCACCAGAGAUAUAGACGCCCUGUAAGCUCACUCAAGGAUCAUAUUAAUUGUCUUCGGGUAAGCAGCUUCAAACUAUAGCGUAAGACUUAAUUGCCAGAGAAAGAUUGUUCUUUUACGACCUCGGUGAUUGGAUGGAGAGCGAGUCAUGAAAAUAAUUUCUUUAUUUGCAUAGGUAAAAAUGGGUUGUCUUUUCUGCAAGAACUUUGCUUAUGCAAGAGAACACUUCAGAGUUCUUGGAGUAGAAGAAAUCUGGUAGGUGGCAAUGGCACCACCAAACACUGAAAGGCUCAUAGAAAUUUAUUGGUUUGCAGAUUCUGCAUCGCUUUCUUUGCUGCUGCUAGCUGUUCUACCAUUAAGAAUUUUCAUGACAACCACAUGUGUCAUCUCAUUCAGUAUCACACACAGGUCACUGCCUCCCCAGUCUUUGCUGAGUUUUAUCUUGGUCAUUUUACAUUAAAAAAAAAAAUCUUGUUGGACUUAUACCCCAUGAUACUUUCCUAAUUGAUUUUUAUUUAAAAUAUCUUUUUUAUCACUUUAAUAAAAAUAUCUAUAUGUCAUCAUUCCUACUUCCGAUCACUUCUAUCGACAUCACUUUCGUCACCUUGUUCAACUCUGACUCUCUCACAACUUUCGACAUCAUAAUUAUCAUCCCGUCUUUCAUUCGUCACUUUCAUCUUUUCACAUCGUUCGUUAUCUUCCUUCAUUGGACCGGAUGAUAAAAUAUUUUUUUUGAUAAAAGCCUAAUAAUAAGAUUAUUUAAUAAAUUUUUUUUUAUUUUUUAUUUAAAAAUACUAUUUUCAACCAUAGUCUUUUAAGUUUUCAACAUAGAAGAAUAAUCCUAUCAUUAUCAAAACCUACCCUCAAUUUUUUUCUAUUUAAGCUCGAUUAAUAAAACCCAUUUCUGAGUGGUCCAAUUAACUAAUAAAACAUGACACACUACCAUGCAUAUAUAUAUAUAUAUAUAUAUUGAUGAACAUUGAUUACAUUAAUUAUGAGGAUAACUGACCCAUACAUUUGAAAUGUUUACCCAAGAUCAUGCAUCUCACCCAAGACACCAAUCCAUCCAUUUCAUAAAAAUAGGCAUAAUCUAGAAAAAUUAUUGUAUCAAUCUUGCAGGACGUACUUUUACACAACAGAUAUACACAGUGUGUUAAUUAUUAUUUUUAUUUGUGCAUUUUGUUUUCUAAUUGACACUAUUGUGAACAUGGUGGAUAACCGCACAUAAAUUUUGGACAUGUCUUCAACAAGAAAGAAUAAUUUUGGUUGCGAUUAGUUCCCAACAUUGCUAUAGAAGAACAAUAAAUGCAAUUAGAUUCGGUAGAAGUCUAUUUAAGGGAGGCUAAUUAAUGCUGAAGAGGUCACGAACGCAACCCACCCACCCACCUGCCUCCAUUUCCUCGUCCUCCCCAGCCGUCCUCGUCAUCGACUCGACGCCCCAAGGAUUUCGACUCCGUCCUCCUUCCGAUUCUUCUCUCUCCUUUUUCUCUUCCCUCGUCUCGCUUUGGCCGGUGGGUGGGGAUUUAGAGACGGAUCCGAGAUGAGUUCCGGAGAGCUGCUGGAAAUUGAUCCCCUCGAGCUCCAAUUCCCUUGUGAGUCCCAUUUCUAAAUCCUUCUCUUGGUGGUUUUGCCGGAGUUGUUCGGAAGAUCGUCGCUUGUUGUAGGGUUGUUCUUUCUUUUCUAAUCGUUGAGUUCUUUUUGUGAUUUGUUCUGACAAGUCGAACUCAAGAAGCAGAUCUCGUGCUCGCUGCAGCUGGCCAACAAAUCGGAUGAUUACGUGGCGUUUAAGGUUGUCGAUUUCGGCUUUUGUUCCCCUUGUUCUCUUAUUUCGUGUGUUACAUUUUGUGGAAACCCUAGAAAGUUGCAAUCUUUUUUAUCGUUUCUUGAAUUUUCUUUUGUAAAGUUGGAAUCUUUGGUUGUAUGAUUCGGCUAUUAUAAAUAGGUGAAGACGACAAGCCCGAAGAAAUACUGCGUCAGGCCAAAUGCUGGGGUCGUCCUGCCGCGGUCGACAUGUGUUGUUAUCGGUAUGCUGAUCUUUUCUCUGCCCUAAAUUUUCCGUACUUGGAAGGAAGGUAUUAUAUUUUCUUCUAAGAAGGUUACAAUUUGAUUCAGUUACAAUGCAAGCACAGCGUGAAGCUCCACCCGACAUGCAAUGCAAGGACAAGUUUCUUGUCCAGAGUGUCAUUGUUGACCAAGGCGCCACUACGAAAGACAUCACCACGGAAAUGGUAUAUCUAGUCUCCAGCAGUCUGAUUUUAAACACUUGCUGUCGCAAAUUGUAAUUAGGCAUGCCAGUGGGUAUAUGUUAUCAAGGAUUGACAAAUGUAUUUGAUCUUGUUUUAGUUCUCAAAGGAGUCAGGGAAUGUGGUGGAUGAGGUAAAGUUGCGAGUUGCCUAUGUCUCACCUCCUCAGCCACCUUCGCCUGUGCCUGAGGGAUCUGAGGAGGGUUCAUCACCUAGACCUUCUGUGUCAGACAAUGGAAAUGCGAAUGCCUCAGAGCUACUUGCUGUGAGUAUUUUAACUUAUUGCUUUAUGCGCGUUAUUCUUUUGAGAUAGAGGAUUUUAACUGUAAUGCAAUAAUAGGCAACGAGAGCAUAUGCUGAAGAUAUUCAGCAAGAGAAAACUUCUGAGGUGAGUCUCUUAUUCUUUUUGUGUAGUUCUGAUUAACUUACAAUUGAAUCAGUGACUGUCGUGCUGUUGGAUAUUUCAUCUCUUAUUCUUUUUUUUUCUUCUCGUAAUGUUAUCUAUGCUUUUCAGUUAUUUCCUACAGAUCUGGUUAGGUGCAUGUUUGCUUAUAAGAUAUGACUUUGUAUGUCUGAUAGUUACUUUUCGAUGUAGAUUUUUAUAACAUAAGUAGACCUUUUCUAGUUUCUAUUGCAUCGAUUUUCUGGAUAUAGUAGAGAGAGAGGUCCUCAUCUAAAGAACUACCCAGUCAAAUACUUGGACCAGGUAGUUUCUUUGGCCCAGGUAGGUCCUCGUCUAAAGAAUUAAGGUUAAAUACUUGGACCUUAAUCCACAAUGGGGAUCAACCACCAACUCAACUUCUCAUCGGUAGUUUCUUUGGCUUGUUAAACUUACGUUUUAAAAUCUAGCAUUAUAACAUAGGUGUGUUAAAAUUACUUGUAAAAUGAGUUAUAUUUCUAUUCUAUGUGAUCUUGUAGCAUCUCUUCAUUACCUUGCUAAAUCAGACUCUUGAAUAUAAGUGUGAAUCUGAUGCCUGCAUCUAUGUUGAUGCGACAAUGUUUGGUGAGAUAUCAUCUGCUAGGAUACAGAGGUGCUAUUGCUCUUGGAACAUGUAAUUCUAUCACAGUAUUUUAAAACAAAAAACUUUUGACCAAAAUCACUGAUUCCUUAAAGCUGUGUUAGACUAACUUACAGGAGUUAUAAAGGGAAUAUAUCAAACUGAAUAAAUGUAACAAAUCAGGUUUUGUUUACAUUCGAUGUAGAUCCCACAUUCAACCCCUCAUCCCACUAGUUCACUCAAGAAGCCCCACGCCUUUCAUGUCACCCAUUGCUUGCUAUCACAAUGCCCUAUCAAUGGGUAGCUGCGUUGGGUUUAAAGGGGCAUGUGUUCCAUAUUAUAAUGUUGGCAUUUGCAUAGGCAUGCAUUAUCCAUGAUUUGAAUCUUCUGAGACGAUGAACUUGUUCUGGUGAUAAUGAAAAACUGUGUACACUCAACAGUUCAUGUUAAUAGUUCACUGGCCAUUGACAUGAUCAGUGUAUAGAGUUUGUGGGACAUGACCACUUAUAUAUAAAUUAUGUGACAAAUUUGUCAUACUUUCAUGUAUGAUAUUAUAAUAUAUCUUAUUAGACAUUUGUAUCUUGGUUUUGGUUCUUUCCAUUAAUGGCUCUCCAUGUAAUGUCAAAAUAUUUUUCAUGAAUAUAGUUUGAAUGCUGCUUUUAGGUGGACCAAAUUAGCCCUGUAGGUGAUAUCACCUCUCACAGAACUGACAAGCACCUGAAACAUUUGGGAUUAAUUCAGUCCACCUAAUAGCUUUUCCAUAUAGUUUCCUUUGGCAGGAAAGAUGAAUGUUUUUUCCUGUGUAAUUGAUGGAGCAUCAUUGAACAAGUAUUUUUGUUUAUGCCACAAGACUCUGCUGGAAGGUAUACAACCUUCAGCAUUGAGGUUAACAAUAAUAAAACAUUUGUCCCGUAGAUACUCAAUCAGCUGCUAAAUUCGUGAUUUUUAUUUAAGAUGUUAAGAGUUGAAGUGAAUACUCAAUGACAAGUCUUUGAGUAAACUGUAAAGUACAAUGGAAUUAUUCUGUGCAAUAAUAAGUCCUUGGAGUUUCUAAUAUGCCAAAACAGCUUCUGGUAUGGAUGUAAAAAUAUUGAUUGUUUUCAUCUUUCUAGUGUGAAGUAAAAAAGAACUAUUCUUUCCAAUAAGCCCUUCUGAUGUACCAAAACAACUUUUGGUAUUGAUGUGAAAACAAGAUUUCUGAUGUUCUGGUUGUUUAAUUGAGCUUCAACAAGAUACAUUUCAGUUGUAGAAUGAUUCCUUUGGCUUUUCAUUUAGAAGCAGGAGAUUGUGCUUGGUUUAGGCAUAAUAAAUUACUAAAUGAUGUGGAUACCCUAACUUUGCAUGGAUCUACAAUCAAAUCAUUUUGUUGUACUUCAACAAUAUGAAAUGUAAUGUUUAUUAGCAUUCAUUUAUUUUUGGACUGGCUGAGCGAGACACAUGAUGUCAUGUUAAAGGUUGAAGACAGGGAACACGGAAUUACAAUAUUUGCUUAGUUUAGUCUAUGUAGUGAUGUUUUUAAGAUUGAUAUCAAUAAAUUAUGAGCACUAUCUAUCUCUUCACUAGCCUGAUGACAUGUAUUUAGUGAUUAAAGGUUUUCCUCAUGAACAUUAGAAUUUGUUAGAUGCUUAGCUUUAGUCAAGAUCAUGAUUAUUCUUGCUACACCAUGGGCAUAUGCUGGUCUCCCACUACCAUCAUAUGUGUUGCAAUGCAUCCCAUGCUGAUUGUCAUUCACCAGUCAUAUUACCAGCUUAGACAUGUGGGUAUGCGCUACCAUGGAUAUGUACCCAAAGAUGAUGGUGUCCCAUCUACAUGGUACAUGUCAGUCUGCCUAAACAGGCAGGAUGUCCAUGGUUAGAUGAUGAUAUAUUGUAACAAUAAUCCUAAAUAUGGAAGCAUAAUGUAUAAUUCUUAAGAAUAAGAUAGAUUUUUGUAGCAAUAAUAUCAGCAAGAAGAGAUACUCAUUUGCAUUGCAACAGUGUAAAUCUUUACAAGGAGACUUCCUACUCCAAUAUCUGUCUCCAAUUUGUGAGAUAGCUGUGUAGAAUAAAGUGAGAAACAUUCUAAGAUGUUUAGUUAGUGGAGCUAGUGUUGUUCCGAAAGCAACAAGAGUAAACAUUUACAGAACACGAAGGAUCAUGUGUUUCUGAAAUGUGCUGUUGUGACAUCUUUUUGACAAUGAGUAUGCAUUUAUUAGCUUAUUUAACUGAUCUAAAACCACCCUAGACUAGUAUAAUUUGGACUAGAUUAGGUUCAAUUUAGGUUAAACUGACUUGAAUAAGUCAAAUUAAUUCGGAAUGAAUUGAUCUAAGACUAAUCAAGUCUGGUUUAGUUCAAUCAAUGUUUGGACUCAAAUCCAACAAUUACAUAAUAUUGGACUAGGGUAAGUCGACUCAUAUACUGAUCAUAUGCAUUGUACAUAACUGUGCAUGCACCAUAGCAGGUUGGGCCAAUGGACUGGUCAUAUGCGUCGCACAUGACUGCGUGUCUUAAUAAUCUAGAAUCUUUGGGUUACUUAACAAACAAGUCAUGAUUGAGAUGAUUUACUCAUAAUACUUGAUUGCAGUUUAGUGGCUGCUGAUAAUGCAGCUUAAAAGAUCAAUGGUAUUAUAAGGGAAAAAUUGAAGUACUGAUUGUAAAAGUAGACAUGUGGUCAAUAACAACAAUAUAUGUGUGCAUGUGCAAGGAUACUUCUUAUUUAUAUGUCAUUAAUUGGUUAUUCCCUCUUAAAACCACAUACCAGUAAUGUGAUUUUUUCUAGUCUCUCCACUUUAACUAAUGUUUCAAAGAGGCAUAUUUAGAUACAUUUGCUCCACUUUAGCUUGUAAUUCUAGGGUUCUCAAAGUUAUGUGCCAACUUCCUGACUCUGUGAAACUUGGGUUUCCAAGAGAUUUCAGCAUGAAAAAUAUAAGAAAAAUAGAACAUUGAUUAUCUACAAUGCUGAUGUAUUAAGGAAGCUAGAAAGCUGGUAAACAUUUCUUUUGCACCCUUGACUCCUGCAGUUGAUCCUUAAGUUGCAAUUGGUCAUCCUACCACAUGAACUAGUAAUCUGACUCCAAACAAGUUUAUUGAUCUUUUGUAUUCUUGACAAUAUAUAAUCAGCUAAUCAGGAAUGUAUUUUCAAAUUAUGCAUUCCAUCUGAACGUACAAUGGUUGGUCAUCAACCUUCCAGUCUCUCUGCAUUUAUUUUAAAGUUAUUACACGGAAUUGUUGCUUCUUCUUUUUUCUUUUCAUAAUUAGUUAUUCUCAUCUGAUGCAUGUUUGUUGUAAUGUGCUCAAACACACUUCAGGUAUAUUUUUAUUAGGAAUUUUGAACUCUCUUGCCUUUAUGAUGAUUAAUGUUAUACUGGAAAUCUUUAAUUGACCUUUUCUCCAUCCAGAAUUUGGCUCUAAUUUCAAGGUUGACUGAGGAGAAGAAUGUUGCUCUUCAACAGAACAGUAAACUGCGACAAGAACUGGUAAGCACCAACAUGGUUUAUCAAUGGACUUUUUCUCAUGCUAGUGGAUCGAAUAAUAUAGCAUAUUAUUACAAAGUAUGUCAUAAAUAAUUAAAAAUAAAUUAUUUUGAAAAUUUUGGACAGAAUUCUGGUAGAAGUUUCUGAAUUUCUCAAUGUACCUAAUUUUUUUCCUGUUUAUAGCAUGUGCUCUUUUGCUCAAUGCUGCAAGUUCACGAAUUCAACAUCUUUUCAGGCAUCUUUACUGGGGUUAUAUGCCACACAUAACCUAUUGAUAGAAUACAUAAUUCAUUGUCUUUUUGUACAGCUAAAAUUUGUCCACUGCCUAAUUCCAGUUGUAAAGGACAAUAACUAUUGCAAACAAGCCUGUUCUGGUAGGUUCUUGAUGCCCUCCAUUUGUUUGUAUAUAUUGAUCAGCAAUGAUAAGCAAUCAUGGAUAUUGUGUUUAUUUGGUUCAAAACUAAGUCCAUACUAGGUUUCACUGCCACUACCUAUGUUGGAUAUUAAUUUGCUGUGGUCAACCUUAUUACAUGAUUUGGAACACUUUCAGAUGUGUCAGCAUAAUCUAGUUAUUUCAGGUUUUCCAUCACAGAGUAAACAUUUGUUCUCGUUUGAGUUUGUUGCUGGCUUGGUUGCUCGUCUGAGCCUAUCACAAGGUCUCAAGACUGGAUUCUGCAGGGUUCUGCAAAAUUGCAUCGAAGUGUGGUCGACAAAAAGCCUUCUCUGAUGCUUAAGUUAGUGUCGGAAAAGAUUUAGAGUAAUCGGGGUUACGACAGUUCUGAGAAUUUAUGUUUUCUUUUCUUUUGUACAGUAGCAUACCUGAGAUCUUCUUUAGGAGGCUUUGACAACCAUCAUGGUUAAGUGGGGAAUCAAUUCAUAAGAGCAGUUAUGCUAGAUUAUUAGGCUUUACUCUAUCGUGAAGGGUCGCAGUUGCAUCCAAACCUACAGCCAGGCAUUGCAGUUAACAUCGUCACAUAUUGGGUUGACUACAUGAGGCAUUUUAGCUGAUGUGUCGGGUUGGCAAGAUGACCAAAUAGGUGUGAUUGAUGGUGAUGUAGUGUCCGGAUGUCCACAUGAGAUCUCUUAUUAAGAUAUAUUAGCAUUUUAAGUAUACAUGUAUGCAUGCUUUUUCGCAAAUCAAGAUCUCUUUAAAAUGGCUUAAAUAAGUCCUAGAAAAAUUUGUUCCCAUUAAUCCUAGAAGUGUUAACCUAGAGAUCAUAUAGGUAGCACACUUCUAUUAUCUCAGUCCAUGAGAUUAAACAACUAUGCUUGGCAUGUUUCAAGGCAGUCAUCCUGUGAGACUGUCAGUUUAGUUAAGUAAAUAGGUCGUUAGUGAUGUAUAUUUUGGACUCACCAUACUCCUUGAUUUUAGUUCUGAUAGUUCAAGUAAUCAUCAAGACUUUCUUUCUUCUUUUUAUGCCCUUUAAACGUAAUCAUAUAACUCCAUAAAUACGCUGUCCAUGCCGCUUGACCAAUUACAUUUGCGAGAAUGACUGAUUAUUACUUGUUUUUCAGUUAUAGCUAUGAGAAAACUGUGCAACGUGUUACUGUUUGUUCUGCGUGAGUACAAGAAGCUUACUCAUUCGACAAAGCAUUCAACUAACUAUAUCAGAUUCGUAAAAUGGGCUCAUUCAAUCAAGAUUUAUGAUUCAACUUAUUAUCAUUUAUCCGUUCUUUCUGCAAUAGCGAUGUGGUUCUUAUUUGGUGGAAAGAACUUUGGCAUUAGUAGAUACAUACCUGAACACGCUGUAAAUUCUACUGUUUGCUAAUUAGUUGUCAGUCUUAGACAGUAAGCACAAAUGGGGUCUUAAAUCUGAGUUCAUAUAUAUUCUUUAACAAUAUUUUGUCGUUGUUGCAUGCAGGAACUUGUGAGGCGAGAAGUCAGCAAACAACAAGGUGGUUUCUCAUUCAUGUUUGUGGUGAUCAUUGCCUUGCUUGGAAUUUUUCUAGGCUACUUGUUGAAGAAGUAACAAUGGCUUGUAGCCUUUUAUGGACACUCAUAGAUCUGACUGCCACAUUCUAUUAGGUCCUUAUAGGAGUCAAAACUAGCUCACCUAAGGUCUGGUAGCUUCUUUUGACUGUUUAGCAGCGGCUUCAGUUGGUGUAACAUCUGAUGUUAUGGGUGUGCAAUUUCGGUACCGUGCGUCCUUCAUAUUUAUUAAUACAAAUGUAGCAAACCUUGGUCCUUGAAUUAUUAUCAUUUAUAAUAACUUGUUUGUGAGCAGGUGCUAUCAGUAAUCUCAAAUAUUGAUUCGUGUUUAUUGAACUCAAGAUUUUCUUGUGUUUUUGAUGUUUCAAACUUCGUAUCUGCGGUUAAUACUCUGUUGUAUCUGCUUAGAUUAGGAAAACUGACAGUAGUAGGAAGAUUGCUUUAAUGUUUCAAUGGCAUUAUUAUUCAGAAGAUGAUGAGAAUUUGAGUCAUUCCUUGAAGAGCUUUAGUUCCAAGACAUAUGUAGCAGCCCAUGGAUGACAUUAUCAUUAUUCAUUUUAUGGCACGAUUGCUGGAUCUAUAAUUGUUUGCCCAUGUAAUGUAUUUGAUCUUUGGAGCAGCCCAUGAAAUGGUUGUUGCCAUGCUGUAUUCCAUAUGAAGUUUAUCAUGGAAGAAAUUUUGUGAAGUUGUUGCAUGAGCACCUUCGCACGGGUUAAUUAUAAAUUACCUUUUAGUUGGACUUUAUCAGAUACAACAUGUGAUGACAUAUGUAAGAAUGAUAUUAAAAUGAUGAAAAAAAUAAUUUUAAUAUUUUAAUUAUAUUUUUUUUUGUUAUGUUCUAAUUAAAUUUUUUUAAUUGACUAUUGCGAUACUAGUAGAUAGCAACGCCAUCGGGGGCUGUGGGUGAGUGUUGUGAUGGUGGUCGACCUUGUCGAUAUUGAUAUGAACAUUGAAGAUCAAGGCGAGGGUGAUGGCCACGAUAGCGGCGACGGUUUGAUUGAUGAUGGUGAUGGUCGAUCUUGGGGAUGCGAGAAGGAAGAGGAAGAGAGUUACAAUAGUUUGUGAGAUAAGUGUGAGAGGAGGAAAAGAUAGUGUUGCAGGAGAUAGCAUUGGCGUGGUCAUCAUCCUCAUGACACAAGAGAAGAGGAAGAGAAGGGUGAACGACGAUGACGCUAUUUUCGGCUUCUAUGGCUUCUUGCAGAGGGAUGAGAAAGAGGAGGGAGAGCGAUAGCGGGAGGUGAGGCAAACGGAGAGGAGAUAGCCACUCUCCCUCCUUUUCCUCCUCCCGGGGCGAUAGUGUCACGAUAAUGAUGGUUGCACCAACGCUAUCUCCCAUGACACUAUGAUCCUUGUCCUCUUCCUCCUCAUCAUGGAGGGUGCUAGUCCAUUGCAUUCGGGGCACAUGGAUGCUUCGCUUCCCCAGGAGCUUUGGUAAAAACCUCGAUCACAUCUAAGUUAUACGAGGAAUCGAAGGGUUUGGUGCCAUAGUGCUUGCUAUAGUGGUGGUAGUGGUGUGGAUGUUGGAAGAGCUAGUGGUGUUGGUAAUGGUUCUUGAUUAAUACAUUUAGUGAAAACCCAUUGAACCCUAUCGAUGGUGUGACCAUUUGGGUGUAUGCUAAGAUGCCACCGACUGGGUUAAGCAAGGAUGAUGGCAUCAUGUCCAAAUUGGAAGAGAAGCUCGACGAAGAGGAUGAUGGCGAAGACAAGGAAGAUGACAUGUAUAGGUAGGAGGACCAUUGAGGACAAUAGGAUGAGACCUGGUUGGGUAUACUUAUGAUAUAAAGGGAGGAAAGGGAAGGCCAUGUUGUUGUAGACAAGGAUGCUUUUGAUUGGCCUCGACCCCUCCAUCAAGCCAUCGAGGGUGGAGUGAUUGCUGCAAUAAUGGUCGAAUAGCAAUGGUUGUCGCUCUCCCUCCUCCCCUCGCAAGAAGUCAGAAGCUGGAGAUAGUGUCGUCGCUACUCUCCCUCCUCUUCCUCUACCUGUAAGAAAUUAUAGAAGUCGGAGAUAGCAUCGUCGUUGCUCACCCUCCUCUUCCUCCUCCACCGUUGCGAGACAAUAGUGUCACGAGGAUGAUGGUUGCGCCAACACGAUCUCUCAUGAUACUAUCAUUCUCAUCCUCUUCUUUCUCUCCCUUUGCCUUACCUCCCGCCACCACUCUUCUUCCGCUUCCUUCUCACAUCCCCAAGAUCUACUACUAUCAUCAUCAAAUCUCUGUCAGUACCAUAGAUGUUGCCCUCGCCUUGAUCGUCGAUGUUCCAAUUGACCUCGAUAAAGUUGACCACCACCACAAUAGCCACUCGCGAUCUCCAGUAGCAUCACUAUCUGUCAUCAUCAUAACAAUCGACUAUGUAGUUUUAAUUAGGACAUAAUAAAAGAAAAUAUAGUUUGGACAUUAAAAUUAUUAUUUUUUCAUCAUUUUCACAUCAUUCCUACAUGUGCUGUAUUUUUCAUCAGUAAAGCCGAUGGCCAUACAGUAAAUGGGAUUAAAUAUUUUGUUUUUAUAACUAUAGGGAUUUCAAUAUAAAUGUUUUAAAUCUAGGGACCGGGAGGAAUGUAAAGGGGAUAUAACUAUAUGGGAUAAUUUAUAAUCGGCCCUCUGUGCACAAAAACUAUAUAAUAUAUUGCUCUUGUGGGAUCUCAAUAUUUGCUUGCAUACUUUUUGAUGGAGCCAAGAAGGUAGUUUGAUUGUGCAUUCAUAUGUUAAUUAACUUAUUUCUUUUCCUUAAAAAGGUCCUAUGAGGACUCGGGGUUAUAAGAAGGCUAAUCUUUUGUUGAUAGAUUUAGUAAGAGUGUCAUGUGACUUAGGUCAAACUAAUAAAAUUAAUGAUAUGGUAACAAAAUGGCAAACAAAUACUUGGACAUACAAUGUUGGGAUCUAAUAAGGUUGCAUGAAAAAUAGUAUAAAAACUUGAUAGAUUGGAGGAAAUCAGUAUAGAGAUAUAGAGAAUGGAGCCGCUUAAAGGAGCAGAUAUCCAAGAUUAACAUUCAAAAAAAUAACAAACCAGAGAUACCAUAAGAACAAGUGAGAUAAGAAGAACAUAUAGGAGCAUAAAGAUUGUGAUAAUUAAGUUUGAUCUACAACUUCACAUCAUCAACCUAAUUUGUAGUAUUAACUACAAGCAUGUUUGGUUGUAGAUGUGAUUGCACAGGUCAAGGAUAGAUUGAUUGGCAAUUGAAAGAGUUUGUGUAAAGACUUAUAAAAGUGAGAGAAAUUGUUAGCUCGAAGAAUUCGAUAAUCAUACAAUAACUUAUAUACAAACUUUGGAUGUUCGUAGCUAUCCCAAGAUGAUCGAAAUUCAAUAUCAGAAAGUAAAAAAACUCUCUUCUGCAAGAUAGAAAGAGAUAACAUAUACUAGACUCUAAAUUGUAUAGUGGGUUUAGAAUGUUACUAGGUCUUAUGAGCAUAGUCGAGGGUUGUAUCGACAAAGUGUCAUGAUCUAGCAAGUGCAUUAGUAAAAAAAAAAGUAUACGAUUCAUAUAUAACAAAUCACGCAUUUCAAGGAUAUACCUUGGUAAUGAAAAAAUUUCAAUAAAAAUAUACGAAAAGGAUAUGCUCCAAUAUGGGAUAAAUCCUCAGUGAAUCAAUUUCGAAUUUUCUAUCAAUGAUUCAUGUAUAACAAAUCACACAUUUCAAGAAUAUACCUCAAGGUGAAUAAUCUAUAAAACUCCAAGGAGAUUGGAAUCGAAUAAGUGACAAAGAAUCAUUGCAAGGAUAAGAUGAUGCAUCAAUUAAUACGUUACAAGUUUAAGUGGAGGAGUGAUCGAAAGCACCCCUAGAGACAAAGACACACAUAGAUUGAUGAGGAGAACAUCAAACUCAUUGGAGAGCACUCAUGUAACAGUAGUGGCAAGGACCAUAACAAUCUCAAUGCAAAUAAAAAUGCAUAAUAACAAUCCGCACGAAGAGAAACUACUUGGAAGAUAAAAUAUGGAGAGAAGGUAUACGAACACUUACCUUGAAUGGAGACGAAGGAUAUGAACACUUGUCAAGCCAAAAAUGGGACCAUUGCAUUCCUUAAUUUUCUCAUUCUAAUAGAGAAAGACUCAUUCCUUAAAGAGUGGAGGGGAGCUCCAAUGCACGUGUACUAGAUCCAAAUUUUUUAUGAGUAUGCUAAUAUCAAUUUAUUUUCAUUUGUCCCUUUGUAAAUUUAAAUUUGCGUUCAAAAUACUCUUUCAUUCCUCUGCCUCAUUUCCGUUCAUACAUAUGAAAUACAUAUAUAUGAAGUUAGCUAAAAUUUUAUGUGAUUCAGUAAACAUAAAUGGUAUGAUAAAAUACCACAUGAGUGAAUACAUAGGAAUUCAAAUCUGCCACUCAUACAUAGGAAUUCCAAUCCGCUAAAUCACUCAUGUUAUGAUCUUCUACUUCCUAAGUCUUUCCGUUCCUCUUCAUCUCUUUUUUUUUUGUUUAUUAUAUUCUAUACAUAGUUAAAAUUCAUUGUCUUACUCUAUAAACCUUUCAAUUUAUGUAUGAAAAUCUAUGUAUAGAUUUUUAUACAUAAAUCUAUACCAGCUAUUUCAAAGGUUUCAACUGCAUUUCAGGUAUGGUUUUGGUUUUUCCCAAUUAGGAAAUGGUAUACAAUUAACAAACUCAAGACAUUCUUUGUCUUAAUGAAGUAUAUGAGACAUACAUCAGAAGAUAUUCCUCUUCUUUGAAACCUCAAAUGGCUAAAUUGGCAUCUGAUGAACUUAACUUGUUCCAGUAUAAAGCAGUUGUCGUGCUGUGCAAUGUAAUGAAGAGAUUAGGAGUGAAGAAGGAAGAUGCUAAACAGGAAAGAAAGAGGGGAGAACAGUAUCUCGUUCUCAAAGAAUCAAUUUAUCCUCAUGCUUGGGGGUAUUUUAAUUGAUGGAGGUAUAUUAGUGAAAGCUAGAAAGGCCUACAAUAUAUUACAAUUUAUCCUCAUACUUGCAAGAAAAAUUUUCAGAGAAACAAGCAUAAUAAAAAAAUGCGAAGGCUUACAAUAUAUUAGUGAAAGCUAGAAAGGAAAGAUUAUAAUCGAAAUUCUUAUCAUCCAACUUGCAACAGUAAAAUUAGAGUCGAAACAUUUUGACAUGAGACAAACUGACUAUAGGACCAUGAAAACAAAAGAGGAUUUUAGAGAAGUAAUCGUAAAAAAAAAGAUACAAAGGCCCUACAAUGUGCUAAUAAAAGCUACCAAGGAAAGAUCAUAGUCCGAAUUUCCAUGGAUGAUGGGACUUCAAUAGUAUCUCAGGUUGGACCAUCAGAUUAUCAUGUUGACUUUUGAAAUCUUACAAAAUCUAUUUUUAAAUUUUACAGAUUAUAAAGUACUUGAAUGUUUACUUAUAUGAUUCGAUUGUAAGUUUCAAUAAAAUGACAAUCAAGAGAUAUAUCAGGCUUAUGAUAUCUCUGGUACGGUAGCAGAACCAUAAAAUCAUAGAAGUCACUAACAUUGACAGCCUUCAUACUUAGAACUCUUCCUGCAAAUUGCAAUAAAAAGAAAAAACAAAGUGUUUAAGGAAUAUUGAUUGCCAUAUAGAACAUAUGAAUGGCGACAAUUUUCCCAAAGUGCAAUAACCAUCCAAACGUAUGUUAGAAACCAAAGGAAAUAGAAAUAUAUACCAUGGCAGCAGUAAAGGAACAAUAAAGUUGACCAACGCAUUUAAUUGUUGUUUGGCUUGUCAGGCUGAGGAAAUCGUUACUUGCAUCAGAACUUAGUUCAGCAAGAUUUGUCCAUAGAAGUUUCUAACCUCUUUGAAGGUUAUCCAUGAUAUUUAUAGCUUUUUUAGGUGUAUUUCUGAUAUUUCCCCUAUUUCAAAGUUUCAAAAAUGUGUCUACAAUUUCAUAUUCUCCUUUUCCAUACAUGUAUGAUAAAGUAAAAUACACAUAAUAUUUUGAGGUGGGUUACUAGUUUUGGGUAAAUGUUCUGGAGGGUUUUCAUGCUAUUAAAAUUUUCAAUGAUCUACCAAAUUCAAAAGUCAAACAAAGUUUUGGUGUCUGAUGAUAUCAACAGGUAUUAGAAUGUUGAUUUAACUAAAUUUUAGAAGAUAUUUAAAAGUUAAUCAUGGAAUUUAUGAAAAGGAUGAAUGACAGAGGCAAAUAUCUAAUAGAAAUCCCUUUUUAGUCUGCUAAUUUUGGUUUUGGCUAAAAGUUCUGGAAACUAUAUUCAAUUCACUCAAACACAAAGCAGCCAAAACCAGCAUUACGGCUUGCAAUUGGCAGGAACUCUAAACCAAACCCACAAGUUUGACCCAACUAGGUAAUUUUGUUGAUUGCAAAAUUAAUAAUGAUAAGCCACUACAGCAAACGGCAUUCCCUACGCAUGCCAUAGUGUGUCGUGCAUGUAUGUCUUUCUCCAGCCUCGGUUACAGUCUUCCCAUGAUAACUGGAAGUAUCCUUUUCUUAAUCCUAAACUAGAUUCUGAACAACCACAUGCUGCACCUGUUCGUUCAUCUAUAAAAUUUAUUUUGCAGAAGGCACCAUGAUUUUAAACUUCCUCAAGAACUUCAUUCAUAUACCAACGAGCAAGACUUUUCCCGUUUUCGUUUGCUACAUGGCCUUUAAAAGGUUGCAACACUGGAGAAGGACAAUACAUAAUACUCAUGAAGCUCAGAAUUACAUCUUCGUCUCUAAAUGAUUAAAACCCUUAGCUGCUUUUGCAGUGUUAUGUCCUUUGAUACUUAACAAUGUUAAUAUCAGUAUGAAUAUUCCCUUCUAUCUUUUGAAGCCACAAAAAAGAUAAAUACAUAAUGCUAUGAACUCAGUAUACAAUUCUAUAGCACAUGUUAUGCAUUCUUCGAUGAGAAUGGAUGAAUGGAUACACGCAUGUCAUGUUCACUUUAUAGAGCCUGUCGAGCACUUGCACCAACAAUGCCAUGUCUCUAUUGUGUGUUCCACAAAUUCAUAGCUCUAAAUUACUUUCAAAAAAUCCUGAGCUCCAAACAUCACUGUCAAUAUCCCCUAUAUUCGCAUUUGCAAUUUAAACUAAAACAAACUGAGUCAAGAUUGUCCUAGGGAAGACUUCUCAUUGACACUAGUUCCUACAGAAAAAACCUGCCUAUAAAUUCAAGUAGAAAAAUUUUCAAAGUAACAUGACCCUUAGCGAAACUCCUGGACAUCUUCGCUCCUUUCCAAUUUUCCCAAUGAUAUAUUCCUGUGGUCUUUCGACUUCAAAGUGUCCUAAUUCCUGUGGUUUUUUAAUUCCUUUUCCAAUCACCUAGACUAAAUACACUCUAGGGGGCAGUGGUACUGCAUCAAAGAAUCCAAGGAUAAACAUCUACAGAAGAAACUUCUCUUUUUAUGCAAAACUAACAAACUUUUAGGAACUUUGGUAGCUUAGGAAGAGUAUAUGCAUCAUAGCAUAGAGUCCACAUUCAAGCGCCUUUCAGAUAUCAACUACCGAGAUUUCAUUCUAUAAGUAUGUGCAAAAGAAAAUAAGAGUACCUACAAAAUUAUAGAUAAUCCCUAGCAGCAAAUUAACAUUCACUAUCGACAGAACAAUACAAGAUUAUGAUUUCUGCUGUCAAAGCUUUGAUUCGAUUACCAUGGCUAAAGUAAAGUCAGCAUACAUUAGACAAUAUAUUAACCAGAUUCAAAGAAACCAAACCUUUGUGACUUGUCUUGAAGAACAAUCUUUCAUGCAUGUCUUACCUUGAAAACCAUCGAUCAGCACCAUUCUUCCUCGCAGUAGAAAGAAGUAGUGCACGUUCCCUCUCCUUUUCUUUCUUCUCCCGCCUCAUCCUCAUCCUCUCCUCCCUCAGUUCCUCUAUUGUCUUUUUCCACGCAUUCUUCUUCCCCGAUCCACUUGCAACCAUGAAUCUUCCAACUUCCUCGUCAACAGUCUCUGACAUGGCCGACGGUCGUGAGAGGUACCACGGCGCCUUCACCCCCUUCCCUACCAGUCCAUAUCCCAGCUUAUACUUCUCGUCCUCGGGCGCCACCGACGCCGGAUUGUCCUCUCUCCGCGGCUUCUUAGAGCUCUUGGAUCCACCGUCUUCAGCCUCCUCCUUCCUAAAUAUCUUGCCAUCACGGGGGAUCCCUUCGUCCUGGGUGCCACCAAGGGAGGAGAAAUCGGAGAGUCCGUCGAAGAGGUUAAAGUGGCGAGAGUCGUCAUCGAAGGCGGGGGGGUUGCUGGUAGUGAAGACCGCGGGCACGGCGGAGGCGCUCGAGGCGGAACUCGGAGGCGGGACUCCUCGCGCUGGAGCUGCUCCUCGCGGGCAGCGGCCUCCUCGUCCCGGCGGACCUUCUCGCGGUUCUCGUAGUUGUACACGUUCCACCGCUUCCGCGGCAAUAUGUUGAGACCUCCGUGCCCCCUCCCAUCGAUCGAUCGUCCUAGCGAAGAUUAGGGUUCCGAGAGGAAGGGAUCCAGGAAAAUUAUUUGGAUUUCGUUCGCCGGUCGAUUUCGUGGGAGCAAAGACGAGCUAAUUACUAGACCUCCUUAGCAUCCUUGUUACUAUUUUUAAAAAUUUAUAUUAAAAUUUUUAUAGUUAAUAGUUAUGUAACUGAUAAAAAAUAUAAUAUAUAUAUAUAUAUGAAUAACAUAAAAAUGAUAGACAAAAAUAUAAUUUUAAUAUUGAUGAUGAAUCAUUACAUCGUGGGUGACUGUGAUGAUGAUGGUUAACAAGAAUAAUAUAAUGAUCAAUCUUGCCAAAGUCGAUAUUCAAACAUCGACAAUAAAGAUGAAAAGGAGAUGAAGCGGUGAGGCAUAUAAGAACAUUGCACUGCUUUGCCUCUUCUUUCUCCUCCGAUAUCGUUUUAAAUUUGCAUCAACAUUAAAGAAGGAAGAUGAGACUAACGAGGCAUGAUGAGAAUGAGAGAGGAGGAAGAGGAGAUAGGUGAGGUAAAGUGGUAUAGCACAAGAGGAGGAAGAGGAGGUAAGUGAGAUAUCUACAUCGAUGUCGCAUUGCUCUACCUCCUCUUUAUUCUCGUAGAUCAUUAGAUUGUUCAAUGGGGCGUUGCAUCGCUUCCUCUACGUUGGCGUCGUAUUAUCUCCUCUUCGUUCUCAUAUACUAUCGAUGUAGCAUUGCACUACCUCCUCUAUGUUGGCAUCGCAUUACUUUGUCUCCUCUUUGUUCUCGUUGACCACCGUAUUGCUGGAAGAAGAAGAGGAAGAGGAAGAGGAGGCAAAGUAGUGCAACAUCGAUGUAGAUACCUCACCUCCUUCCUCUUCCUCCUCCGGUGCUAACACAAAUAUAGAUGCUUUACUGUUUUGUUUCCUCUUCCUCCUUAUCAUUGAUGUUUAGAUCGACAUUAGCAAGAUUAACCACCAUAUUGUUCUCGACGAUCACCACCACAAUAGUCAUCGAUGGCGUCAUUAUUCGUUAUUAUCAUUUAAAUUAUCUUUUUGUCCAUUAUUUUUGUAUCAUUCAUAUAUGUGUUUUCACGUGUUGUAUCUUUCGUCAUCUAGAGAUCAUGAUGAUAAAGAGGUUUGACUAUAAAGGGUAAAUUGUAAUUAGCCCGAGCAAAGAUGAGCAAAUUGUAAUUAGUCAUCGAUAACAUUAUAUAUAUAUAUAUAUGGCGUUGGCAACUUUGAAAACUACUAGAAUUUGAUAUUUACUUCCUAUUAAUUCCAGUAAUAGAGUAGCAGUGGUAAUAAUAAUACAAUGGUGGUGUUUGCAUAGAAUUUGAUGGGCUAGACCUAUUAAAGAUCGGCCCAGCCCAUUUUCACAUAUCAGAAUAUAUAUAUAUAUAUAUAUAUAUAUAUAAUGUUAUCAAGAAAAAGAAAAAACAUAUAUAGAUGUGUACAACUUAUAUAUAAAUACUAUAAAUAUUAUACUAGUAAGCCCACAAGAUAAAUGGGGCAUUAGCGUUAGACUCGAUGGGAUCGAUCUUCUCUCAAACUCAAGUCAGAAUGCAUCAGAGUUAGAGAUUAUAAUUAUAUCUUUUUUAAGAUAUAUCUUUUUGAAUCAAAAAUUACGUGGUAGCUGAGUUGGCCGAUCUUCCACGACUUAUCAAUGGCUAACAUUGUUUACCUAAACAGCACUUCCGUCAUCUGCAUGCAGCUGAAGCAUUUGUCAAGCUGCUUUAGGCCACACAAUUUGGCAGCUCUUUUAAUGUGCAGCUGCAGACCAAACUGAGGAGUUGUGGAUGCCAAUGCUUCUACUAAGAUAUCUGCUGAUUCACCUCAAGACUUGAGACUGCGAAACUGAUGUUUGCAUGCAGCAGCACCACAAACCUGUCCUUUGUGUAGGAGCCUCAUCAAUGGAACCAUGAAACAACACUGGUGGAGUGGGGAGAAGCGCAAACAUGAGGCCAUAAGAGAGUGUUGGAUGCACAAGCUAUGGAACACCACUACCAUUAAAACAAAAUGACCUUAGUGUUGGAUGCACAAGCUAUGGAAUCCCAAUAUGAAACAUAGAAAUGUGCCUAACAAGCACUGAGUGGGAAUCCCACCCAUUGCCUCAAAUUUUGUACCACUCAAGUCGUGAGAUCAAUACUUUCAUGGAACUUGUUCUGGCCACUAAUCAAAAAGUUCGAGUUGAGAUAUCCUUUACUAUUUCUCAGGUGAUUGCACGAAAGUUCCAAUCAUACAAAUAAAUAGCCAUCAUGAACUUUUUUUGUCCUUUGAUAAAGAAGAAACAUCAAUUCGGCUCUUCUUGGCUCCAUCUCACGACGUGCAUUCAAUUGCUGAACCGGAUUCCAGUUUCUCAGACCAGAAUACAAGCUCCACUUUGGUCCCAUUCAAUAAUCGUGAUUGAGAUCGAGAGUGGACUACAAUUAAUAGCAAUUGGUUAGGUAGGUUGCCAUAAGAUUCAUUCAUGUUUCUUAACAUAUUAUGAUUGAUCCAACAAGGGAAUCAUAAAUUCAAUCGGUCAGCGGUUCGGUUCUCAGCCUUUUCGGUCUAAUGAUAUUCGAAUAACUAUGGUUAGAAUGAUUGCACAUAGAUUACCUUUUCUUUAGCCAAGUGGUGUCUUAGCGCAUCCUCCCCUUCCAUACUUUGACCUUAUCUAUCCGCAAACUGCUUGUUUAGUGUGUCUCCCCAUGCACUGCUUAGAUGCUAAAUAUCUUGAGAAUACUGACGAGUACAAGAUUCAACCUGCAAUGAGGGGAAGAGUUGUCUUUGAUAUCGUCAGAUAUGGUCUCACAAGUAUUCACAAGAUUGUGGAUCAAAUAAGUCUUCUACAGCACAAACAUUGAUUGCACACUUCCCAUCUUGGAACUCACUAGCAAAUGCUAUAGAAAGAGAGGGAGACAGAGGCUGUUAAGCUGUGAUUUGUAACAUCAACUUCUACUCGAUAUGUGACUGAUAUCAACAAGGGGAUCAGGUCGGGUAGAUUCCAAACUCCAGGCGCAGGAGAAGCAGAUGGAGUACAGUGAGAGGGACUUUGCAAGUAGGAACAGUAUGUCCUUUGAGACAGCUGACGUCCGCAUGCAGGAUCACCACCAGCUUCAACUCCAGCCUACUGCUCCACGAACAUAUGUCCUCGACACUGAUGUCUUCGUGCAGGAUCACCACAAACUUUAACUCGUCUUCUGCCCCACAAACAGCGCAGACUCGAGUCGACUGAUGUCUCGAUGCAGGAGGAGGAUUCUCACAGGCUUUGCUCGUCUGCUGAACCACCACAAAAGAACGGCAUAAACGCAGGUGGGAGUGCAGAGAGCUCGUCGCCAUCGUCUGCUGUAGAAAGGGAUGUUUCGCCGUCGUGGUGAACAUAAGGGAGAGGAUGAGAGAGUUAACGUAGACUCAUCAAGCUGCGGAAAACCACGUACGAAGAACACGGCGCACGUCACUUCCUUUCGUGAACGCAAACCAUCCAUCAAUGCUGCUGUUCUUUUGUCGAAGCUGCAUCGCCCAUGAAACUUUUUUGAGGGAUGAUGUGAUCUUAUCAUGUUAAUAAUUAUCGUAUUUAUGCCCGUAAGAUAAUAGAAACAAUAUAAAUUUUUUGAACGAUAUAUAAUUUCUAAGGUAAAAAAGUGAUUUUUAUUGCUGGAAAUUUAAUAGCCAAGCUAUAAAAUUUUUGUGUGCUAUGCUUUUCCUCGUUACCCGAUUAGUUUACUCGCCUUAGAAUUGGAGGUAGCCUUUGUGCCUGCGUGGGACCCAUUUAACGUCCUAAAUCCCAAUAUAUCAUCUUACGAAGUGUGUCUGAUAUAUACGUGGAUAUUUGUGGUGGAUCAUAUAUUAUUAUUUUUAUUUCUUUUAAUUUAAUAUUCAUGAAUUGUCAGAUUUAUACCGCUGAAGAAUUUUUUUUUCCUAUGAUUAGUCCUCCCAUUUGAUCCAUCACACUAUGUAUGCUGAUAAUAUAUAUUUAUAUUCCAAAAUAAAUCAUGUAUGCUGAAAUUGAGGACUGUUUAAACCCAUAAAAAUGUAUAAUAUGCCAACAAAAUCAUAAAACUAUGACAUAGUUUAUUUUUAUUUUUUUAAUUAGUAAAGUCAUGAUUAUUUUAGAAGAAAGUCUCCAAAGGUUAUAUAUAAAGGGGUGCAACACUAAUUAAUAUCCAUGAAUUAGUAUUAACGUUGCACCGCCGCAGCGACAUGUGUCAGCCUAUGACAAGGGUUGAAGCAGCAAUGCGUGCACCUGGAAGCAAUGCCGAUCUGCGGUGGGACCCGGCGACUGGACCCCAUCGGAAACAGCAGUGGAAUAUGCGGGCGGCCGAGGAGGGAACAUUCGUGGAAUAUACGUGGAAUAUCCCCAGUCUGUGGCGUUACGAAGGGAAUGACCGAGGAAUUCAGCCUCGGCAGCCACCUCCACCGAGGCCACCACCGUGAUUUGGCGCACGCGCGGGGCCACUGGCUGUCGCUGCCUUUCGUGGCUACAAAUCCCCGAAUCUGCCCCGUCGCCCACCUCCUCCCUUGAAGCGUGCGAGCGGCUGCAAAGCAUUCACUGUCGGCACAAGAGAGAGAUAGAGAGAGAAAGAGGGAGAGGGAAAAAGAGUUGGAAUUGGUGCAAGCUUCUCAUCCUCAGGUAACGGCGCACCCGACAAAGAAUCCAUUGUUUCCGAAUUCUUGGAAAACAGUUCAUCAUCCAACAUGCAAUUUAGCGACAUGAUAUCACUGGAUUAUGUUGGUAUAUUUUCUAUUAUUGAAAGAAUUCAUAAUCCAAUAUGCAAACUUGCUGCAUGUUCCUUGUAUAUUAUGAUGCGGGUAUGUUCUGUUUAUCUGGUAGGCAAAGUUGAUGCCUUCUUAGACUAAUUUUCCAUCGGUUUUCUUUCCUUUUAUCGAUAUCUUAUUGUUCCAUGGGCUCUGAGUGUAUAGAACUUAGGUGUUUAGCUCGACCAGGGAACGUUAAUUGGCUUCCUGCAUCCCUAAUUUGAGGUUCAGAAUGUUAAAAGGCUCGGUCUUUUUAUCUAUGCACUGUUUUCUGGUCAAGAUGCAAUUUGGUACCAGUCGUAAAAAGAUGAAUUCAUGCUGUAUGCAUUGAUGAAUUGAGUGUUCUUCGAGGAAACCUGCACUUGACAAGACUACAUAAUUAUUCCAUUUUUAGCUGAAUGCCUUCUGUUCAGCUAUAUUGAUUGGCAUUGUUAUGUUUCUACAUCGAAUUAGCUGUUUCAAGUUGUUUGAUGUUUUCGUGUUCUCGUGCUUUUGUAUUGUUACUAUUUUAUGUUCAUGUGUCAGUUAAUUCGAGUGGUCGACUGAUAAUUCUUCCUCAAAACAAAAGAGCAGUUGAAUUCUCGUUUCUUAUGCUAUUUUCUAAAGUAAUUCAAGGUGAAAUGAAUAUUUGAAACAUGCUGAUGUAUUUAUUAAUUUUUUGUUUAUAGAGUAUAAAAAGUUCUUCCAAUUGCAAACGUCAUAUGUGAGACGUAUUUAGUUUAUUUCUUAUUUGAAUAAAUUUGGUUAGCUUAAAGGUAUUUCGCGUUUGUUAUAAGUUGCUAGGUUGCAACAUAUGGAAUAUUUUUUAUUUCCUAGACUACUCAAGGAGAAAUCAAAGAAAACCAAUGCAAAAAAAUGCAAGAAUAAAAAUGCAACUUUUAUUGAAAAUUUCUAAACAUAGUAAUCAAUAAAAAAUAUGUCAAAAGGGAAAAUUAUUUUUCAAAUAAAAUACGGAAUGCUAUAUUCUUUUAAGAAUGAAAGAACAUAUGAUUUAUUUGAUUUAAUGUAAUUAUAAUUUUUAUUUUGUAAUUAUUUUAUUUGAUGUAAUUAUAAUUUAUUCUUUUAAGAAUGAAAGAACAAGAUAAUUUUUCUAUUAUGUUGCUCUGUUUAUUUUCUCUCUCUUCCCUUUCUCUAUUUUCAGAUAAUAAUUCAGAACAUACCAUUUAGAUUUAGUAUCAAAACUUUUGGUUUAAGUAAGAUGUCAUAUCAUUAACAUCGAUACAUAUUUCAGUUUUAUAAAUUUGUAAUGAGUUACUAUGUCGUGAAAGCCUAUUAUAUGAGACUAAUUUACUUUAUUUCUUAUUUGAAUAAACUUGAUUAGUUUAGGGGUAUUUCAAGUAUUUAAAAUAUUUUUGAUUUAGUUUCCUAUAUUGCUCAAGAUGAAUGAAAAGGAAACCAAUACAAAAAGAUAAUUUUUUGUAAAUAUGGAAGUCUAUCUCAAUAAUAUAUCAAAAGGGGAAGUUUAUUAUUAAAAUCAGAUAUGGAAUCCUAUUUUUUUCAAUAAGGUAAUUGCAUAGGGCUUGAUAGGAGUUUCGUGCAUUAGGUACACUUUCUCUUUGUAUUUCUCUUUUCUUUCCUUGUACAUGGUCGGGAAAUGAAAUCUAAUGGAACAUCAAAGAACAUAUGUGGAGGUGCAACAUCUUCAUCUUGAACAUCCUAUGAAUAUUCUGCUUGAUAUAGUGCAAUUUCCAUGGUUCACUUUACUAGUUCGUACCAAUAUACUAACCAACUAUUGAUACGGUACGUACCGAGCUAUAUCGAGCGUACCGAGCAUACUGACACACGAUACAUGGGGUAUACUAAUGUACCGCUUGUAUCGGUCUCUUGUCAGGCCAGUACAUAUUGUCCAUAUUGAGCGGUACACUACAGUAUGGGGAACCUUGGCGAGUUCAAUAGUUAUCUUUUUAUAAUUAUCUUUUUGUGGUUGUCUUCUCUGUUCUCCCGUUAAUUUCAAAUAAAAAGUUAAAACUCGUUCGAGAUUAAAUUUGAUAUUAGAGUUCUUGAUCUAACCAAGAUUUGGUUUAGUCACGAUAUUCUGUUAUCAUGACCAAUUCAUAUAUUAGUUUUAUAAAUUCAGGAUGAGUACUACUCUCGAAUAUGAUACAAGACCAAUAUUGUUUACUUUUUAUUUGAAUACAUUUUAUUAGUUUAGGAGUAUUUCGAGUAUAUCAUAAGUUGUCACAUAACAUCCAGGAUAUUUUUUGUUUAGUUUCCUAGAUUGUUGAAAUAGAAGAAAGAGGAAUCCUUCAAGGAAAAAAAAGGAAAGAAUCACAGUUUGAUUUUGAUUCAAGAUUUUAUCUGUACAAGGAAGACUAAUCUCUAUUUCAUUUCUACAAAUAUUAAAGCUUAUUAAUUAAAAUAUAACAAAAGGGAAAGAUUAUAUUACGAAUCAUAUAUGAAAUGCUAUCUUUUUUUAAGAGGUAAAGAACCAAUUAUUUAUUUGAUUUAAUGUUUCUAAUUUCUGUAUUUUUUUUCUCUUUCAUAUACUUGGGUCUAUAAUAUGAGGUUAAUAAAAUGUAAUGGAACAUCAGAAAAUAGAUCAUUAAAUUGAGUUUUUUUUCCACUUUAUGUGUGUGAGGAUGCAUGAGACAUUCAGAGUUGUGAGACCUCCAUCAUGAUAGGAUUAUUCUUGAAUCAUAGAGAGUCAAGUAGUUAUCUUUUUUGAUGUCCAGUUAUCUGUUUGUGGUUAUCGUCCCUCUUGUUUCCUUCAUUUAUAUUCAAAUAAAAAUUUAGAACUUGUCCUACAUCAAACUUGUAAUGCUAUUGAAUUAUGGGCAUGGUUAUAAAUUUCUGAAUUGCUUGGCUUUUCAGAUGGUGCUCUUUUUGUAGCAGAGUAACAGGCCAUCAAUCUUUGUAGACCAAAACAUCCUCCUGAUCAUUGUUCCAAGAAAAAAUAUAUUUGUUCGGUUGAUGGAUUCAACAGGUGAACAGAGAAGUGAAGCACAAGACAAGAGGCCCAUCGGAGUUCGCUUCUUGGAGUACAUCACGGGCAGUCGAUUGAGCUUCAGAACAUAUCAAACGAUUGUGUUGGUUCUAACAUUCUUGGCAUAUGCUAGCUACCAUGCUACUCGGAAAACCACAAGCAUUGUCAAAAGCGUGCUGGAUCCAGAGACAACGAGGCUGGGAUUUUCCCAUUGGUCAAGGUUUUACUUCCUCAGAACAGUUGAGGGGACUGAGCCAAAGCCAAGACUAAAGGAUGGUUGGUCUCCAUUCGACACUUCAGAUGGCACUGCCAUGCUUGGACAGAUUGACGUUGCUUUCCUUUCUGUCUACUCUCUUGGAAUGUACUUUGCUGGGCACUUAGGUGAUCGGUUUGACUUGAGAAUCCUUCUGACGAUUGGAAUGGUGGGGACUGGAAUCUUCACUUCCCUCUUUGGUGCUGGUUAUUGGCUCAACAUACACAGCUUCUAUUACUUCUUGGCAGUUCAGAUGUUAGCUGGUCUGUUUCAGUCCACAGGAUGGCCAUCGGUCGUGGCUGUUGUUGGGAAUUGGUUUGGAAAGAAGAAGAGGGGACUGAUCAUGGGGAUAUGGAAUGCACAUACUUCAAUAGGAAACAUAUCUGGAUCGCUGAUUGCUUCUGCUUUACUGAAGUAUGGUUGGGGUUACUCAUUCGCUGUUCCUGGCCUUUCUAUCGCCCUUACUGGGUUGAUGGUGUUCUUAUUCCUUCCUGUUUGUCCUGAGAAAAUCGGGAUUGAAAGUGAGGAAGAUAGCCUGUUGAAAUCCCCUAAGAAGAACGGAAUUACUGAGCCUCUGUUGGAAGGACGAUCAGAUGAAAAAGAAAAAGCAGUGGGCUUUUUUGAGGCAUGGAGGAUUCCUGGUGUUGCACCAUUUGCUCUCUGUCUCUUUUUCUCCAAGUUGGUGGCUUAUACUUUCCUCUAUUGGCUUCCUUUUUACAUCAGCCACACAGGUACAUCUUUUUAUUAGUUGGUAUUCAUGUCAGAAUAUAAUGUCUUUUGUAAUUUUAGAUGGGGAGUAUUUAGUUCCAGUAAAUAUAAAUGUAUUUGAAUGUUGGAAUAUCAAAAAUGUUUUCCUAGUACCUCUAUCCAUGAUUUAUGCCUAAAAGUAUCUGGCAUGAUGCAAAGGCAACACUGAAACUGGAGUCGGCCACAUAUCAAAAAUAUUUCAUCAUAUUGAAAUCAUCAAAUCAUGUUUCCACAUUAGUACUAGAUUUAUCUCAUCCCUAGACCUUGCAUUAGUGGGAGACUCAUGCUGAAUGCCUUGGUACUUGCUUUGGGGUAUAUAACUUUCGUCAGGCUUAUGCUAAUUGUGCAGAUUUUGUACAUCCGUUCAUUUUAGUUUUAAGGCUUGGCCAAUGUCACACCCAGAGUUAGGCAUCCAGCAUGUUUCCUGUUAAACAAGUGCAUUAGGGGAAAAAAAACUGAUGCCUCGGUACUGUUGCGAAAACUUAAUUGUGAUACUGCUGCAUUGCAUUCAUCUAUUUUUCUGAUGUUGUGUUCCUAGUUAUUUCACGUUCUAAUACCAUGAAGCAUUCUUUAUCGUGCAGCUAUCGACGGAAGCUACUUAUCUGAUUCAACAGCAGGGACGCUAUCAACAUUGUUUGAUGUUGGAGGUGUUGUUGGCGGCAUCCUCGCUGGCCAUAUCUCUGAUCGACUUGAUGCCCGUGCAUUGACAGCAGCUGGCUUCAUGUACUGUGCCAUUCCUGCUCUCUUCUUCUACCGAAUCUAUGGCAGCAUCUCCCUAUACUGGAAUAUUGCUCUCAUGUUUGUCACUGGUAUGUUUGUCAAUGGUCCAUAUGCAUUAAUAACAACAGCAGUAUCGGCAGAUUUAGGAACACAUAGCUCCCUAAAUGGGAAUUCCCGGGCCUUGGCCACCGUGACUGCUAUAAUAGAUGGCACAGGGUCAGUGGGUGCUGCCAUUGGCCCGCUGCUGACAGGCUACAUAUCAGCCAAGAGCUGGAGUGCAGUGUUCACAAUGCUGAUGUCAGCCGCACUGGUGGCUGGGCUUCUCUUGAUGAAACUUGUGGUGGCUGAGGUGUCUGCAAAGAUGGAGUCUGCUAGAUUGCGAGCCAAUUGGCGACAGAGAUCACCUGUUCCUGAGCUCCUUGUAUAACAUAGCUAUGUUAUUUUAGGAGGUGAAAAGCUGCGAGCAGGUCCUCUAUUUAUUUUUUUCAGAGGAGUGGCUCUUUGUUGCUUGACAUGAAUAAGAGCAUUGCUUUGGUCCUUCGACAGCAUGCCCUCAUUGCAAUGGAAGGGUCACUAUAUUUGGAUUCAGUUUUCAUGUUCAGAGCCAUGCUGGUUGAAAUGGGCUACAUUCUGCAAAUUCUGUCUAGAGUCAUUAAAGCUCAGGUUCACACUAGUUUUGAUGAGCAGGUGAUAUUAAACUUCAGUCCUUUUCAUUGUGCUUAUGGCUGCUAGAGUCCAAUAUGACAUAUUUGAGCUGCUUGACACAGUCGCAAUAUAUUAUCUGUAUAUUUUUUCUUUUUGUGCUAAUGGCCUCUUUGAAAUAAAUUGCAUUUGUAAUCGAAACACCUUGUUCUGGAUCUUGUAUAAAGCACAUUACACACUUUAUGUCUGCUGCUAUUACUCCUGAUAUUGGUCUUCUGCUGUAUGUAUUUUGGAAGGUGUAGCAAAAAUAUUUAUUUUGUGAUUUGAAGAAAGCUUCGAUUGUGCUAAAAGGUCAAAUUAUAUCUUUCCACCAAAAGUAUCUAUUACAUUCAGCAAUACUAUGAAACUUGGAAUAUAUCAAGUAGAGGGCAUUUCACUGCUUGGUAAUUCUGUGUUAUAGUUGUCAUCUAAAUCAAGGAAGAGAUGCUUGGAACACUAAAUUUGAGACAUUUUUAUAGGAUGCUUGUUCUGACUGAACCAUUUUUAUUGGCAUGAUGGAAUGAUAAAAUGUGUUUUUGGAGUCAAAGAGUCUGUAAGAUGCAUAAGGAGUGAGUACCCCAGCUGAUGAAAGAUUGUGAACAACAUCAGCCAAGUCAUUUGUGCUUAAUUGCAUCUGGAUUGAAGUACAUCAGCAGAAGUCCCUCAAGUUGUAAUUUAUCUUGAGCUUGGGUCAGUCUUAUGAAGUAUUUUGCUUCUUUGAGUCAGUCUAAAUGCAAUGUGUUAAAUGGCUGGUUUCUUUGCCUUAUUGUAUGCAUCAAAUUUCAUCAUCUUCAUUUCUCUUCAUUUGGUUACUUUCAUAGAUACACACACAUGUAUGUAUACAUAUAUGUUUUAUUAGUAUAUAUAAUAAAAUACAAUUAUUUUUUUUUAUUAAGUUGGAAGUAAUUUUUUCCCUCUUAACAUAAAACUGAGUCAAGAGUGUGAGUCAGAUAAUAACCCAACUUCUACAAUAAUGAGAGCAAGAGAAAGGCAUUAGUUAAUUAGACUUCCUCAUGCUGUUAAAACAUAUUAUAUCCUGAAGACUUGUGGUUAGGCUUCACAAUCUACCAUCAAUUAUUCCUACCACCACUAUUUGUGGAAGAAAUACAAAUUCAUGAAACUUUGUUCUUUCAAGAAUCUUGUCAGGGAAGUACAAAAGCAUCCCAUUGUCUUCUACCUUUUCAUUGAUCAAAUGCCUCAAGGCAAGCUUGACAGUUGAUGGAAACACCAAAGGAAAAGAAUUAUUCUGCUCUUUUCCCACUGACAAUUCACAUCUUAUCUGAACUAAAGCUUCUCAGGGAGGCCUUUUUAAAGGGAAGUGUUUGCAAAGCUUGUGGGAUAUUUAAAGCAUCUCCAAUGUGAUCAUGAGAAUAUAAUCUUUAGAGGCCUUCCACUUGUUUUAUGCUAGACUAUGAUCAUGAUCAUGAUCACAAAAGGAGAUAGAUCAGGAAUAACUUUUGGAUACUUGACAAAUGUUUGCGAAACACAUGCCCAUAUGACCUUGAUUUAUUGUUGUUGUCAUUUGGCAGUCUUUAGAGAAAAAUACUUUACAAGUUACUAUUUGCAUUGUGUGAUGGUGGAAGAAUAAUUGACAUAACUUAGCCACUAGGUUUUUUGAGGAGGAGGAGGAAUCAAGUUCUUCCAUUAAUGGUGAUCCACCACUUACCACACAAAGUUCAUGUGCUUUCUACCUCAUCAUGAUCAUUGUCCUUGUGAGAUCAAAUCAUCUCAUUGUAUUCCCUAUUUUCUAUGAUUGAGAAUUUGAUUCCCUACACACUCCCUGUCUACUUCCACAACAAUUUAUAAAUCCAAAUCAUCUUCUAAUGGUUAGGCUAGUCAUUAUCUUUUUUUUCUUCAGUUUAGGAGAAAAGAAUUCUUGUUUUAUAUUUAUAUAUAUAUAUAUAAAGAUUUAAGUACUGAAGAUAAGAUUCAAUCUCAAGAUCUUACUAUCAACAAUUAAAAUCUUUGCCUGUUAACAUUGGAAGAAUUUAUUGAUUUUGAAUUCUUAAUCUUGAAUUAAAUCAUAAUUCAAAUGUCUAAGCUAUAUAACAUAGAAAUGAAUGAGCAUAAAGCAUUCAUGGGUGUGGGGGUCCCAAGUAGGAUGCCUCAUAAAAGUUUGGCUCACAAACUUAAGAUAAGAAUGAUUCUCCCCCCAACUCUUAUCUCAAUGGCAACUGCCCCAAGCAAAGGAGAUAGAGAGUGGAGCACUCCAAAAUGGAGCUCUUUAACAAGCAUAUAUAGGUAGGUGGACAUCAAUCCUUUCAAGUCCAUCAUAGGCCAUAAAAUAUAAGACCUUGCAAGGUAUUGACUGAAGAACAAAAGCUUUAAGAACAAAGGAGAACCCGUGAAAGAGACAUGAGCAGUGAUGAUUGGAGUUGACCCACUUUUUCUUACUAGAAAUGAGGAAAGAAUAGAGAGAGAGAGAGAUGUGACUGAAAGGGAAAUAAAGCUUGAAGCUCAUGAUUUGGAAGUUACUCAUUCCAAGUUCAUUCAAUCUUCUACACUUUGUGGGGUCAUUCUUUCACUAACUACAACUAUUAUCAUCAUCAUCAUCAACAUUACCACCACCAUCUAGUGCAAGAGUUAAGAUAUAUCACAAGUCCAACUCGAGCAUGAGUAGUGCACCUCUUUUGGGGUAUUAUUUGCAUGUAAAAAGAUGUGUGGAAAGGGAGGGAAGCGUUGGCUCUACGCGGUUUGUGGAGAGAGAGAGAGAGAGAGAGAGAGAGAGGAUGGAGUUCGUGAAGAGAAGAGGAAAAGGAUUGCCGUCGGCGAGGCAUCUACAAAAGUGUUGGGUUAUCAGCACCUCAUGCGCUUGUCACACCAACUGUUGAUUGGAUGAUGGUGGUCGAUGUGGAUCAAUCCAAUUCGUGUUCAUGUCCUUAUGAAUACGAUCUUGUAACAUUGUCCGUUUGCGAUUUGGAAAAUGAAGGUAAUCUAUCGAGGAAAGGAUAGAGAAUCCAAAUGCAGCUUUUGAGCUUGUGCAGGGGCGACCAUGCACCAUGGCCGUCGACCUCCUCCCGGGGGCAUCGAAUCCCAUGGAGGAGGAGGAGGCUUCGCCUCUCCUCCAGUGCCAGCCUUUCUGGCGAUCAAAAGGGAGGAACUCCAUGGGAGCUGAGCCCAGAACUUUAGGGUUUUGCUUCCCACUGCAUGCAUGCAGGUUGCGUUCGACGUAAAAGCACGAGGCCAUGGGGAAGCUUUUGUUGCCACCGUGCUCGGAGCCCCCCAGAAGUGUUGUUUGACCCAACCACAUGAAUGGAGUCGAGUUAAUUAACCUGGGUUUAGGAGGAAGAAAGAACAUGCAAGAGAUAGAGAAUGCAUUUUAGCCAUCACAUCAUCUUCUUCAUUCCAUGCACUUCAUAAGGAGCGAAACUAAGGGAUGUAAUAACCAGCUUGGCUUUUCUUCGUGCACUUUGCCUGCAGCUCAUGCAUGGAAUCAACAUCAACUUGUUGCCAUUCCUGUCCUCCCAAAGUGUACAUUCCUUUCCCCAUUGUACGUUUGAGGUGAUUCUUAAGUUCCCCAUCUUUCCCAAGAACAUGGUCCUCUAAUAUCCUACCCCAGUGCCUCAGCUUUACAGUGCAGAGGAGGACCACAAUGCAGGCUGUGAUCCUAAAGUGUCCUUGGAAGGUUUUAAUCCUUCAACCACAUCUGGUCACUGAAUUCAGCAGACAUGCUCUGCAUUAGGGCAGCAUUCUAUCUCUCUCUCUCUCUCUCACUCUCUCUCAUCUAUGCUUUUGUUUUCUGAAGAUGAAAAUGAUUGAUCAGCUUGAGGCAUCCCCAGUAUCUUGUCACCAUCCACAGCACAAUCUCUAAGACUGGCAUGAAUCAAGUAAACAGUAGAGAGAUGUAUAACCAAACAAUAUGUAUGCCAAAUGCUCAAACAAACCUGGCUUGGUACCUUCUUCUGACCAACUUGUCUACCACUGCAAAAGCUUCACGCUACCAGGGAAUGUGGAGGGGUAACAUGAAGUAGAACUGCAUGGUGAAAGAUCAAACAAGAAUGUUAUGUGAUUCCAAGAACUCAAAACUAUCACAAACCAGAGCCACACUUGUUCAAAAGCAGGAUGUCUUGAAGCAAUCUUGAGUGGUUGGUUAUUUGGAGCUUAAAGAUUAACAUGAUGUAGAACUACUAGGAGAAGAAAUAGAAAUAAAUAAUGUAUGUUACGUACUGGGAGACAAAAACACUUUUCCACAUGGAAAAAGGAGAUUGUACAGACAUUGAUUUAAGAUUGAAAGCAGACAAGCUUUUCAACUAAUGGAGGAAGAGGAAAUAUAAACUACAGAGUUUUUAAAAGAAAGAACAAUACCUUGAUGUCAUGUGGAAUGGUACAGAGACCAUGUGAAGGAUUAAAGAACAAACAUUAGUUUAACCCGAUGGAUCACAAUUAGACUGAUUUGCCCGGUGUUAGCCCUACAUACAAUGAAUCAUUGCACUCAGAGCAAAGACUGUAUCUGCCCCAUCAGUGAGUGGCAGGUCACUACCCAGCAGCCAGUGUCAUUUGAUCGAUGUGUUGUCGUUCAUGAAUGGAGGACUCUUCUUGUUUGAUCGAACAAAUUCGGUGUCCAAGAAGACUGCCCUACAAACAAUGAGAACAUACAAAUGUCAAUUGCAAUAAACAAAAGCUAACAUGGCCCCUUGUGCUACGACGACAAAUUACUAUCACAGAAUUUGAUGAUUGAAACAAGUAUACAAGAUCAAAUUACUAAUUACUUGCACGUGCCUGACAGGGACAAAACGUCACCAUUAAAGUAUCACAUUCUCUACAGUAACACCAACCCAGGUAUGUCGCUGUCAGUAAAAUAAAUUGGGAUAGACAUAGGGCCUGAUAAAACUCUGACCAUUCUUGCUCUGGAAGAUCUCAUUUUGACUGUAAUAUGUGCAGCAUAAUCACCAAGAUCCAUCUACCCCUCGUAAACAUGAUCCAAAUUCCUCAUCCAUGUUGCCAUAAUUUAGCAUCCCAGAUUACUACAGUAGAUGCACUAGAAUGCCAAAGUUGGCGAUCCAAUGUCAUCCACGUCACUCGAUCAUACAAAUAUAAAUUUAUUAAAGAAAAACAAAAUUAGAUAGCAAUAAAAAUUUCAGGUCAAUAUGACCUGGAGACAAUUUCUUGGACUGAAGAAUAUUUUACAAGACAAGGAUAAGAUACGUACAUCAAUUCUUCUAGUACAAUUUUAAAUCUAAAGUAGUUUCAAGUGAGCAUCAACAAAUGCAGCACGUCUUAUUUCACUGCCACCAUAGAGAAUGGCCAUAAGUGCCAGAUAUCUAUAAGCAACUGAUAUGAGAAGAAUCAAGUUUCCGAUAGUGGAAGGAUUGUUCCUAGCAAAAGCAAUUUUUUCGGCAUGGAAAUUCCAUCAGGAUGAUAUCGAUAACAAAAAUGUAAAAUGUAUUUUAGGACUAUUCAAGAUACCAUGAAAUCAAAAAUUGCAACACAAGUCUAUGGCAAACAUAAAUAUUAUGACAGCAGUGCCACAGAAAACUCUCAAGCUCAAUUGAUGUGGCUCCAGUAGCACACUGAAAUAAGCAAGGAUGCAGAGGAAAAAUAAAUCUGAAACUGAUUAUUUCUAUAGAUAGAAAAACUUUACCAUCCCAAAAAGAGUCUUCGAAACAACAGCAUGGUCCUUUUAUUUUCUGACUCUCUCAAGUAGGUUAUAAACAAAUAGAGGAUCAUAAAUAACAAUUUUACCUUAUCGAUAAUAUCAGAUGCUUUAGAAGUUCAAAAAAAGAAAUAACAAGCCAUAUGCACAUGCCAAAUACUCAUCAUUUGUGGUUCCAAUGGAUGAAACCAGUAGUAGUUUGAAAUGAAACUAAACCCGAAAAGAACCUCAGACAGAACAAAUCUUUCAAGUAAUGCAAACAAUAGUAAUAAUGAGUGGUGUAGUCGAGAGAUUUUUUUGGCACUAGAACCCAUGAGAUAAAGCUAAACAAAAAAGGAGUUAGAAAUAUUUACUGGCAAAUUGGAAAGAUAAAGCAAGCCCCAUUCUUUUGGACUGAAUAACAUGAAUCACUUUUCAGAUGCAUUGUUUUGGAUGAAAAUUGUGACUUACAACGACUAGCUGCUUGUGCAAUCUGAUCAGGACAAUUGACCAAAUUAGUUAAUUUACUCACCACUCUAUGAUUACUUGAGUGAAAUAGGUUAGAAUGAGAAAUUCGCAUUAAAAGGAUUCCAAGGAAUAUUCUUGAAAAUAAUAUUACAACAUAAAAUAGGCGUCAGAAUAUGUGAUAAUUGAUACAUUGUAGACCAGACCUGUCAAAUAAAUCUCAACUUUUGACUCAGUUUUACCUCAAAGGAAAAAGUAAAUCCAAUAAUCACCAACCACUAGUUAUAAAAGGCCACCCUCACUACUCAGGAAGUGGAGAGAUGACAUUCACACCCCGGUCUUUUGGUUUCCUAAAUGAAUGUCUACCUGCAAACAAAAAUCAUCUGGAAAGAUCACAUGCAUGGGACCUAUAAACAAAAAUCAUCUGGAAAGAUCACAUGCUGUCCCAUGCCCAGUAGAUCAGACCAUAAGUUAAAUGCUACAACUAAAUGUAGAGCAACAUCACACAUUCCAAUCCAUGUAUAACUAUCAACUAUGUACCCACAGACACAGCCCUGGCUGCCUUGAAGGAUGAAACCCACUGGUAAUCAGGUAAGGUUAGGACUGUGUAGGUCACAAUAUGAGAUGUUUGGUUUCAUACAUUGAGAUAUACACAAUAUGAGUAUGCCUUCUCCAUUAGAAUGAGUUUGUUCUGAUCCUUUCAGAUAAGCCCUCAUACAUGUGAUUGUUGUUUCUUUUCUUAAGAUGGUGAAAUGAUACUUGGGUGUCCUAAGCAAUUAUAAUACUGAAGUCUCAUCAGGAGUUCGCAUCAAAUGAGUCCUGAACAUGUAGAUAAGCUUGGCAUACAGUUGACACACUCACUAGACCAUAUGUUGUUACAAUACUCGUAUAAAACAAGAUGUGUAAUGGCAAUUCCUCCUUAAUACUCACAAUUUAAACAUUAUGACACAGAAUUUUGAACUCACAACCAACAUUUUUGUACAAAUUUGCAUUUCAGAGUCUUGUUAGUCCUUUAAUAAGUCUGCUGGGUUGAGAACAUAUGUUGACCUCCCUUGAUCACCAGGGGACUGAUUAACAGAAUGGAGUCCGUUGCUGACAGUUCCACUGUGGUACUGAAAUUUGUUUUGUGCAUACUGCAUAGUUGUGAAAAGAGUGUCGAGACCCCAACAUCACAUAUCUUCUAAAUUUGAAUAGAUUAAGUUGAUCUUGUUCUACAAGCUCCAUGGUUAUUUUCCCACUAGAGUAACCUUUCAAAUAGAUUAACUAACUUUCCCUUGGAGUUUUAUAUAACACUAUACACAGUAUAUACUUAGUCUUGCUCUUUGAUUUUAUAAGUAGCUUAGGAGCAGGCAACAAAUAUUCGUUAUACAACCCUCAUCAUGAUAAUUCUAGUUAAAUUUAUUGUAAUUUUCAAUCAACAACGAUUGCAAAAAUUAGUAGGUCUUGAUCUCACAACUUUUUACUCGGAUGUAUUGUCCCAAUACUAAUUUCACCUACUUAAAUCAAAAUACCUAUGUUUCUUCAGCAAAUCAAACCUUCGUUGAAAAGGAAGCAAAAGAAACCUUGGGAGCUAAAUUUGAAGAAUCAUGAAUUAAGGUAUUCAUUAUCCAGUAGUCCUGCUACCCACUAAUUUCAUUGUCUUUCCAGAUUAAUAUAAAUGAUGAAAUGCUGAGAAGAAAGAAAUAAAAUAAUAAUGUUUCAAUGAAUGUGACCAUAUUGAUAAUUUUACACAUCUUUAAUGAAGUCUGAUGAUUUAACAGCUAUUGUAUAUCUGAUAAUAAUUUUCAUGUCAAACCCAUUACAAACUGAAGAUGAACUGACCAGUUUCAUAUAAAUUAUACAGAAGAAACAAAACCCAGGUCCACCUAUCAUUAUCUUAUCAAAAUAAUAAUAACUUGACAAAUAAUAAGGCCAUAAUCAUCAAGAUGCACUUAAACAUUUUCAGAAGCAGAAACAUAGAAACCCCAAUGGAUGUCCAAUGUGCCAAUGUCAUUUUACUUGGAAACAAAUCCCUCAAUGAUCACAUGGAUUCAAGAUGCGAUAUCAGUAGAGACAACACCAAGAGAACAAAAGAAGUUACCACUAUAGAAAAUUACGUUAUGACAGCAUCUAGGCCCAACAGAGUUCGAGUACCUAAAGUGCCAACUUCUGCCAGAGAUUUGCAAGGAUCAGGAACAAGGAUAACAUGCCUGUCUGAAAGUAGUUCUUCAGCCCCUCCAAGCUGACACAGAGACAAGCUCCUUGCGCUGCCAGUAAAGGUAAAGAGAGGCCUGGCGCUUCUCCACAUGAAAUCCUCUGAUCUGCACCCUCUUUAGAAGGCAUUCAGCCUGUGUUUCUGUAAAAUUGCUGAAUUGGAUGGGCACAAACCCUGCAGUUUCAAAGAGCGUUCGCCAGGGAAGCAUCUUGUCAGCUGCACAGUAUCUCCCAAGAACAGAACUCUCUAUUUUCGGUUGUAGCAAGAACCUCUCAAUCUUGCUGGCUGUAUCUUGGUUGGUCCCCGAUGCAUCAAUGGAAUCCAUAAGUACCAAGGAGGACUGGAAAGCAUGGAGGAAGUGCUGCAAGAAUGGCAGGUCACUCCGAUCACACCCUUGGUCAACUGAGACCACAAUCUUCGGAGAGAGUUGCUUCACGAGGCGGAGGAGAACUGGGAAGGAAAGGUUUGCAGAACCUAUAGGGAGAUUUACUGCUAUGGCUUCACCUCCCAAGCCAUGGAGCUCUAAUGGAUCAAAUGAAUCAAGGCUACGAACCUUAAGUUCAAAGGGAAUGUUAAGGUCACUUGCAAAAUGGGAGAGGUUGUCCUGGAUAAGGUGGAGCUCCAUGUUGUUAUGGGAGUAAUGUGACACAAAAACUGUAAUUUUGAGCAUCCUUACUGCACCUGCCGAAGAACAGCGCCUUUGUGCCAGCUCCUGCAUGAAGGAGGACCAUUGUCCACCAAACCCAAUAUCAAAGUCCAUGAUGUGGAUGCGGUCACAGCCAUCGAGCUCUUCCAGGAGGGCCUGGAUGCACGUGAAGUUUGAGAAUUGGAUGAUGGGUGAGACCUCGGAGAAUGCCUUGUAUGCAUUGAGCUUGUGCACAACGUCCAAAUGAGUCAUCAGGGGAGCAGAGAAGGUGCUCUGCUGACGAUGGGAGGUUGGAGUUGCAGAGAGGAUUGUGUUAGAUCCGUUAGAAAGGAUCAGUUGCAGUGCCUCCUUGAAGUAGAAAGCAGAGCGGAUAAGGGGCUUCCCCGAGGGAGAGGGAGAGGGGAGUUGGUGAUUGAGCCGCGCCAAUAUCCCAUGUGCGCCGACGAAAUUUCGGGCCUCUACCAUCUUAGCAGCCUCGAAAAGCAGAUCGGCCAAUGCGUGUUGUAAGUGCAGCUGCUGCGCAGCCACAGCUGAGGUUACAUCGUCCACGAAAGCUGCCACCUUCGGCUUCACUGAUCUAUUCUGGAGCUGACGCAGAGGAAAGCCGUGGCUUUGCUGCUGGUAUGACUGUCGCCGAAGGAAAAGAUCUGAGUUGGCAGCGGAGUCCAGGAAAGGAAGUUUCUGAGGAAUUUGGUCGGCAAUGGCGGGGUGGCGCUUCAGCUGGGUGGGUGGAAGGAGCUGCGGAAGCUGCUGCUGCUCAGCAUGCCCCGCGCUGAGGAAGAAGGGCGGGUUCGGGGUGGCUGAUGCCUGAUUCAGAAGAAGGCCUGGGCCAAACAAUUGUGGCUUGUCCAACACGGUAUCUGGGAAGUACAUACCCUGUGGUAGUGAGAGCGGCGAUGAGAUGCUGUUGCCAGCCUGCGGCGGCAGCGAGAAGAACUGACUUCCCGUUUGGUGGCCGAAGGUGGCCCCUUUGAUGUUGGCGUGCACGAUGGCCGGAGACACCCUGCUACUGCUGCUCACGAGCGAGAAGCCACCACCAGAAGCAACGUUAGAAGACAGAGGAAGAGAAGAAUCCGUAGGGGCCGAGACGGACGCCUCAUCCGCAGUCCUCCCAAUAGAUGCAAGCCCAAUGCCUGGGUCGAGAAUCCCAAACCCUAACCCGUUACUGUUGCCAUCGAACUCCACUGAGCCGUGGGAUAGGAACUGCUGCUGGUGCUGCUUAAACCCGGCCGCAGAGGGGUCGUCGACAUCCCCCAUGAUCCACCGGAAAAAGGUCUGCUCCCGGCCAGGGGAGGCCGCAGAAGUCUCCGAGAGUAUCGCCUCCCAAUCGUCGACACCAAGACCGCAUUUUUCGCCUCCAGCAACGAAACCCAUAUCAAGCCCGGUCGGUAUCGGCUGCAGCUCAGCAGCCCACUCCUCCUUCCCGACCGCACCACCGCUCACCUCGGCGGUGGAGUCGGCGAGAACCCAUUUGUUGGUGGGGAUGUCGGAGACCGCCGCCACUCCGGCGGUGUCGGAGGAGCCGCCGCCCAGGGAAGAAGACAGUGUGGCUGUGGAGGUGGGAGGGCUAGGGCUCCUGUGAUCAAGCACCGAUCUUGGCUCCCUUCCCUGUUGGAUCACCAACUUGGGCCUCUUAUUCACCCAAAACAGAGCCUGGUUCCCCUCGAAGAUUGUCUCCACUGCUUCUAGACCCCCCUUCCCCUGGCCAUGAUAGGGCAAACCCCUCAUCUAAUGCUUCAUACAAGACGCCAGAUCUAAGUUUUCUCACCUCACUCACAGAGAUGGAAAGAAGAAUAAGAGAUCUUGAGAGAUGAAAUAGUAGAAGCCGGACAAAGAUGAGAUCUUUUAUGCGUCCACCAACGGGAGUAUAAUACUAAUCCCUCCGUUUCAAAUGACACAUGGUGCAAGCUUAAGCGCCUCUUCCUCUUUCUGCUCUCAUCUCUCGGCUCUCUCACUUCAAAGACCUUUUUUUGCCCUUCUCCUCUCCUGUGCUCCUGCUUCUGUUUGAAAUCUUCUAUCUUUCUCCGGGGGAUGGACUGUGACCGGAAGGAGAGGGAAGAGGAACGGCAGCAGCAAGAGAGUAGUACGCUGUACGCCUCUCAAAAUUGCCUCUUUCUCUCUGUAUCCUCCUCUUCUCAGCUUGCCAUGGAUGCUUGCAGCAUAAAAAAGCAAUAAAGUGCGUCCCCUCCAAUCUCUACCUCCCUUUCUCUCUCCAGAAUUAUCUCUUUUCUUUGCUAUCCUCCCUCCUCCCCGCCCUCCGUCGCCAUUGUAUAAUCGAAGCCUUGGCUUCUGACAUCCUGCAGCGACUCGCCUUCUUAAUGCGACACUGUUACUUGGAAUCCCGGCCGUCAAAAGUAUAGCAUCAUAUUUUUGAUUUAUGACCAAAAUAUCCUCAGAACACAGGAAGGAGGUCGUUGGAAAUUGGGGCUGUUUCCGUCUUUCAACACGGCCCUCGUUUUGUGACGCUUCACGGAGUUGAAAACGCCGCGACGCGACACGACACGACACGCUACCUUCGCCGAAACGUUAUGUAUCGAGCCGACACGAUAUGUGGAUGUGGUUCCGUAAACGGUUGAAAUCGGUAGAGAUAGAGUUCGUUCGUUGUUCGCGGACCAAAAGAUGCCACGUGGUACGCGCUGGCGUCAUCUCCACGUAUGAGAUCUGAUAUCUGAUACGAAUCUAAGGGCGGGUAAAAACGGGGUAACUCCAAACUGGUGCGUCCAGAUCUACUGAGAUGCCACGUGGAGCCUUCCCGAGUACUCAAUCAGCUGCACGUUUUCCAACAGCGACCAGCCUUUGAUUUCGCUCGUGGAGGACGUGGCGUCGUUGAAGGCUGUUUGGUGUUCGGCGACGUAGGGGAGAAAGCACGAAGAUCGAAGGCCGUCAGAUACGUAGGGCCCACGAUCGACUACAAUUGAUUACAAGAUAAUUGAGUGAAUUCCACUUGAAUCAUCACAUAUUUUGUGGUGUGGAUAAUAAAGGUGUUUUUUAUGAGUUUAUAUUUCCUUCUCAAAAUAUAUAUGAUCAUACAUUCUAAUGGAGGCCAUAUUAACCAUCAUUAUGCAUAUGCUAUGUUGUCAAAAAAAAUGUUUUCUCAGUAACUAUGUUUUCUUUUUUUUUUCUUUACUUAGUAAGAGUCAUUCAAAUCACACCAAAUAAUUUUGGGUGUCAUAAAAAAAAAUCAAAGUUUUUUAUGAAUUAUAUUUUUGCUCCAUAUGAUAUGAUGUUCAGAAUGAGAUUUAGUUUCUUUGUUAUGCAUUAAAUAAGUUUUUAAGAAAUAAAAAAAUAUAUUUACAACAGUUCAUCCUUAUCGAUCUGUAUCGAUAUAUUGAUUAACAAUCGAUACAAUAUGUAUUAAGCUAUAUCAAACGUAUCGAAUAUAUCGAUGUAUAAUGCAUAAUCUAUAUCAAUCUCCUAUUAAUAUUUAUUUACUUUUCACCUUUUAUAUCAUCUAAAUAAUACUAAUUUAACUAUCCACAUUAAUAGAAUAGAAUUCCUUGAUAUGCCAAGAAGGAAGGAAAGAGAUUAUUAGAGAGUUAAAAUUAUCUCCCAACAGGAGAUGUAUUAUUAGAAUUUUUUGACAUGACAAAAAUAGGAAAGGAGAAAGAUGAUUAGAGAGCUAAGAUUGUCUCCACCCAUCAAAGAAUGUAUCACUAGAAUUCUUUGAUAUGGCAAAGAAAAAUAAAUUAUUAGAGAGCUAAGAUUGACUCCACCCAACAAGGAAUAUAUUACUAAAUUUUUUUGACAUGAUAAAACAAGAAAGGAGAGAGAUGAUUAUAGAGCUAAGAUUGUCUCCACUCAAGCAUUACUAGAAUUCUUUCACAUGACAAAACAAGAGUGAGAGAGAGAGAGAGAGGAAGCUGCAAGUUGCCUCUGUCCAACAAGGGAUGUGGUAUUUAUUGUAGCUCAUUUAAAAGUUUAUUGAAUGAGACACUCAAUUUAGUACAGAUUGUUGAGGAAAGCCAUGGUUGUGACCUCACUCACACCCAACCAAAAUAGUUUUGUCUGCAGCCCCAUGUGGUUGCCAACUCUCAUUCAUUUGCUCCAAACCUAAAAAACCACCUCAUCAUGUAAUUAUGUUUGUUCCAAUAUCUGUGAUGUGGACUUAAUUCAGAAGAUAGUAGUAUUAAAAUAACAAUGUCAGAUCAUUUCAGAAGCUAUGUACUAAAUUAACAAUGCAACCCUGCUCUUAAUGUAAUUCCAUGUGAUGAGGAAAACAGAAGAUGUAAGCUGCUCUCAAUCCUUUCAAUAACACAAAAGGUCAGCUCCUCAGCAGCUGUGGACUGAUGUCUCUUCCUUUCUGUCAGUCCAUAUAUAACAUUUUCUUUGAGUUCUUUGCUGUGCAAUGGCCAAACAUCCAACCUAUCUCCUUCUGUAGCUCUUUGAAUCUCUGCAGAAGAAAGUGCAGAUUCCCAUAGUUUCCUGGUAAUUAACUUCACAGCCAAAGGAACAAAUGCCUGAGUUGGGACAGAAGAUAACCUGGGGACCCUUCAAUGAACCACAAAUCCUUCGUCUUCAUUGUCAGAUAUUUCCAUUGAAUUGACCUCUUCCCGGUGCAUAAUAGUAGCUUCACAGUAGCAGAUGCAUCCGAAAACUAGAAUCGAUCAAACCAUCUGCUAUCUCCCUGAAUAAUUCAGAAAUGUCUCAGUCCGAUGUUGCAGCUGUGGAUGUGAUUCUAUCCACCAAAGCACUGAAGCAUAGUGAAUAGCAGGAUAUAUCUGAUGGGCAAUUCUCCCUCCUUCAACCGCAGACAUGUCAAGGUAGAGCUUCCUUUGUGCUUGGUUCGACUCCACCAAAGAACAUGCUGCUCUUCAAGUUUGCAGAAAGACUAAAUUGAAUUCAGAUUCCCUUCAUAGAACACUAGCAGAUGGUCAGAAAAAAACAUAUAUAUGGCUGACAGUAAGUUUCUUACACCACCUUAUUCAAUGUCCAGUGCAAGAAUUCCAUGACAAGGACAAAGAAGGGGACACUGAGUCCCCUUGCCUUGACUCUAUAUUUCCAUUCAGAAGGAUAACAUAAGUGCAACAUCCAUUGUAUAUGAACUUGUCUGGAAGACCCAGGUAAGGUAUCACCUCCAUAAAAUUCCAAGCCCUGAGAUAUGUUACUCCUGUAAUGACCUCUGAACACAGCUCAGAGAGAGACAGAGAGAGAGAGAGCAUAUUACCAUCUCUACAUGCAUGGCCAACCCAUUGCUGCAAUAGCUGCUGGAGUGAACACCAACUUGGAACCUUCCAAUGCUGCUGCAAUCAACACCAACCAUGCAACAGUUUCCUUGUAAUAAUAUAGAUUAGGAAAGGUCCUGUCAAUCUACUUAGCUAUGCACAUGCAAUCUCCUUCUCCUACAGUGUCUAUGAUAUUAUUAUUAUUAGAUGUAGGAUUAAGCUUGUUGUUGUUGCAAUGGAGAAGGUGUUGUUGAUGCAGUUUAUGCUGACAACAAGCUAAUAGUUUAAAGAUGGAUGUUGAAUUGUAUACACAACAACACCUAAUUAGGAAGAUAGCCAUAAGUCAAAGGAGACAUAGCAUAUGCUCUCCUGUGUUUGCUUUGCUAAUUAAUUGAGAUUGGUUGUACAACCACUCACCAAAUGUUAGGUCAGUUCUUUUUUAGUUCACCCCUUGAUAGCAUUGGAUGCCAAAAUAAACUCUUCUUAUUAUUGUUGUUGUAUUUCCAAGUAUAUGAUUAUUAUGUUUCUAAAGAAACAAAUCCAUUGAUGGUAUAUAAUUAUUAGACUCUUAAUUAGGGUGAAUUAUAUAUUCCAAGUUUGAGCUGUUUUUGGCUUGCUUGGCACUUCAAACAAAGAGCUUCAAUCAUCACUAAGAUGAAGAAAUGUUGCUUUGAGGACUUUGUAAAUAGGGGAAGCAAUAUGUAAAUUGCAUUAUCAAGGAGAGUGAUAUGAUUAUUCAUGACAGUGGAUUGCUUAUGGUUGACGAUAUCAUUUAUUUCAAUCAACUCAAUAUUUCUUUAAUCCAAGUAUAUAACAAAUCAAUCUCACUCACUCGAGUCAACAAUCAAUAAAAACGAGGAUAUCUUGACGUAACACUUAAAUAAUAUCAUAUUGUCCCAUCAAGCUUAAGAUAUUGAAACUCAAGAAACAAGUUUAAAUUGACUUCAUCCUUUCUUUAUAAAUGAUCAAAUUUUGACUUAUUUAUUAUGAUACAUAAUAAAGAUUUUUAUUUUUUUAUUUUUUUUUAUAUUGAAUUAAAUGAUAUACAUGACACUGGAUUUGAACUUAAAAGCUUAUCAACAAUCAAUAGGAUAUAGCAAUAGAAAAAUCUAAAAUAUUAAAAAAUAUAUAUAACACAUCAUUCUAACAUAACUUUCUUUAAAAAAUUAAAUAGUUUCAUAAAUAUCUUACCAGCAUAAGACAACAAAUCAUAAAAUUAUGUGUGGCAACUUUUAUAUAGACAAUUGCUCAUCAUUCAAGUCAAAUUAAUAAUUAUAACAAAAUUAUACUAUCUUUUCUUACACCCCAAGGCAAUUGAGCCACUCAUCAAACUAUCCCUUGAUAGAGCAGGCUCAUGUUUACCACACUGUUUAAGAUUGGGAUGACACUUGUGUAAAACUUGUCAACUUCAUAAAGAACAACACCAAGAUUUUUGUGUGGCCUAAAAGACAUGCGAACCCUACUAAUUUACUUUAUUUAUUAUAAAGAUUAAAAUUAUGUCUUUUUUUUAGUUAUCCCUAAUUAUAUUUUGUGCCCAUGUUGUAGCUCACUUACAGCUAAAAAUGAUGAGUUGGGCCAACGUAAUGGUCUAAUUAAACAAUUGGCAAUAAAUUUUCCACAGAUAUCAGUUUUGGAUUAUUUAAUAUUAACAUAUUAUAUUAUUUUUAGAAAGUAAAAGAAUUUGUGAGAGUUGUUUUAUGGAUUCGCAAGAGAGUAUUUGAGUUUUUCCAAUAAAUAAACAUUAUUUUUUAUCUGAAUCUAAUCAAAAUUUAUGUUGAUGAAAAUUUUGAAUUGGGAAAAAUAAUUCUAGUGAUAUAAUAUCUAAUCAAACCGUGAAAUUUAAAUUUCAGUCAAAGAGAAAGAUAGUAAAUAUCUGAAUUCUUUUAUCCUCAUAUAUAUAUAUAUAUAUAUAUAUAUAUAUAUAUAUAUAUAUAAGAAUUUAUUGGAUUAGUUUAUCCUACAUAUAUUUUCUCUCUUACUGACCAUCAAAAUAUUUCAAAACAUACAAACUAUAAUAUCCAUACUAAAAAAAAAGAGUAGCUUGCAAACUAAGUCUACUAAGGAUUAAAAAUAAUCUAAAUUUGAUUUGAAGGAUGUGCAUACAUCCCCAACAACGACAUGUGGCCCAUUGAUUCCAAUAGUUAUCGCCUCUUGGAUUAAAUAAAAGGAAAGAAAAAGCUACAAGCAUGAAAUCCACAUCAUAUCCAAUCUUUUAGCAUACUACAAGUUUGUUGCCAUCAAAUGAGGUGUCAAUAUCAUAUAAAUAAAUCAUAAUUAAAAGAAAUUUUAGAGGAGGAAGAAGAAAACCUAUUAUAUUAAUUUUCUUCAUUUUAGUUUGCUGUAUUAUAACAUAGGAAAAGAAAAUAAAAGAAAAAAAAGGAGGCAAGUUCUUAAAAAUAAACCUCUUAUUUUUAUUUUUUCUAAUUAGAAUCUAUUUUUUAUUUUUUAUAUUUUUUUUCUAAAAGAUGAUAUUAUAUAACAAUAGGAUAAUCGCGGAUAAUUUCUCGAUCUCCAUAUCGAGGGUAGAGAUGAUGCCCGAUGAGAUCGAUAAAGGAAUAAUCUCGAUAUCGAGGUUAGAGGUGAUGCCCGAUGAGAUUGAUUGACAGAGGAAUAAUCUCGAUAUCGAGGUUAGAGGUGAUGCUGAUGAAAUUGAUUGACAGAGGAAUAAUCUCGAUAUCGAGAUUAGAGGUGAUGCCCGAUGAGACUAACAGACAAACAAGGGAGGGGAGGGCAGUGACAGACCAAAAAUAAGAGAUAAUUUAAUCAUUUAGAGAAAAAAAAUUAUUAUGUGAAAAUAAAUGGAAAAUGGAACUCUAAUAGAGAAAAAGAGAAAAUAGGUUUUUUUGUUUUUGAAAAUUGUCUAAAAGGAAAUUAGAGAUACCGACAUGGAAAAGAGCGCUUUUCCGAUACGUAACGUGUCGAAUGUCGGCGAUAUUAUCCAAACGCGGAGCCGAUAAGAAUCCCAAACAAACACCUCGAAGUUUCUUCCUCCGCCGCAUAAGCCUAACAACUACAACCGAAGCCGUCAUCUUUUCCUCUUGAUCGAUCCAUCCAUCGUCGAUUGCUCUCUCUAGAAAAGGUUCGACUGAAUUCGCUGUUCGAUUGUAUUUUGUUUGAUCGAAUUGUUGAUCCGUUUUUU